Molecule: long non-coding RNA, 51659 nt
Filed under: Elaeis guineensis (African oil palm)
Lineage: Eukaryota; Viridiplantae; Streptophyta; Magnoliopsida; Arecales; Arecaceae
Description: long non-coding RNA (EGUI_LNC020105)
Source: RNAcentral
GCCUUGUCCUUGCUUCCUUAUUUUUAUUUUUAUUUUGUAAUAUGAGAUAAUAUGAAUUAAAUAAAAUAAAUUUAAUUUUCAAAAAGUCUGACAGGUAGAUGUAGUUGAAAUUGGUAGUGCUUAGAUGAACCUUGAUAUGCAAAAUCUCCUUAGACGUGCCAUCAACCACAUUAGAUGGGCCCCACCUAUAUUUGGUGUGUGGUUCAUAUCAACAAGGUUAUCAUUUCACCUACCCAGAUAUGCACAUGUAGCUAGGCUUGUCCAAAUUUGCUUUGUGCAGAAAAUGCCAUUUAUCUGAUUAAUUUUUAUUCAACAUCACAGAAAGUAUAUUUGAAGUUUCGAAUCGUAUUUGCUUUGAAAUGGGGUGUGGCAUGUGGUCAACACAGCACAGCAUGGUGAAUACCAUGUGCGUCGAAUGACUGACACACAUACUAGUAUUGAUUCGUGCAAUGGGCUAAAGCUGCUAAACCAUCGUUCACUGAAUCGUCCCGAAUCGGAUGGUUUCGGACGUUCUGAGCCGUACCGGUGGCAAACUGGGACGGUUUGGAUGGAUAAAUCGAAAUACCCAAUGGGGGGAGAGGGAAAGAGAGGAAGGGAGAGAGGAGGGGGGGAAGAUUGGCAGCCGCCGCUGCCGGAGGCCAGCGGAGGCCCACUGAGGCCAUCGGAAGGCCACGGAGGCCUCUGCGGCUCGGGUAUAGCCUGGUAAGAUGUUCAAAUGAGAGAGAAAGAGAGAGGGGGAGCGAUAGUACCAGAGGGACGUAUAGUUGGUGAAGAGGCCAUCGGAGGCCGCCAUGCAGCCGACCACAUUUUUUUUUUUUAACCUUUAAGUGAAGUCGGCAAUGUUUUUUUUAAAAACCUUUAAGUGAAGCUGGCAAACUCGUUGCCGGCUUCAAUGUAAUCUCUAUUUUAAAAAAAAAACCCCGUGAAACAUGGGUGCGCCCUUCUUUCACGCUUGUGGCCCUGCAGGCGUUGACUACGCCAUUGGACGGCCACGACAGCUGGCCAGUGGCCCUCCGGCGGCUUCUCCUCCCUCCUUUUCUUUCUUUCUUUCCCUCUCUCUCUAUCUCUCUUUCUUUCUCUUUUCCUCCUCCCCCGCUCCAUUCUUCUCUCUUGUGUCGAUUUGCACUGGUACAGUCUGGUACGGACCUGUACUGGCUUGUAUCGCCAGCCGGUCAGCACGGGGACUGGUUCCAGUUCUGGCUCCUGCUUCUUUGCGCUAAACAAUGCUUUUAAGUGCCAACCUGUACUGUGUUGUAUGGGACAUGCUGUACUAACCUGAUGUGGGAGCUCCAUAUCCCCCUCAACCAACACAUGGCACAAGUGUAUGUUGACUCCGGUAACAUACCAUAUGCUGGUAUAGAAGCAUACUGUACUGCACAAUUGCUGGUAAACUAUUGGCACAGGGCUUGAUAUUUAGACUUAAAAAACAGUUUUAAAGCUAGUACUACAAUUUGUCCCUGUUAUGAUUAGAACUAGCCCAAUAAGUAAUCCAGGUAGAAGAAUUAUCCUAAAUUUAUGGAUUUGUAAUACAGUGUUUUUCUUAUUGAGAUACUGUUUCCUAUGGUGGUUAUUUGGCAUUGGCCAGCUUGGUAAUGGCUUGAGGAAUAGCUAGUUUAGCAUGUAUAAGCCUUACUAUUGUAAGGGUCAUAUUGGUGUGGUGUCCAACCUCAUCCUUAGCUAUGGACAUUUACUAUAAUUUGAAUCUGGAUUUAUUGAGCAUGCAAUGUUUGAGAUGUAAAGUAAUUUUAAGAUUUUUCUACAAAAAUCUGAAUGUAAUUUAUACUUCAGAAGAUUUUUGCAUGAGGAUCAAAUUCAUGAUUGUGUUAGCUAAAGAGCAUUGCUAACUUGAAUCUCAUAAUAAAAGUCAUAUGUUUUAGUCUCAGAGCAUCUCACCUAAAAUGACACUGAAUAACACUUAAGGCUUCAACAGACAGAUUCAUUUUCGAGUGUUACACAUACUUGUCUGUGUUGUUGCAGUGAGACUUGGUCUCUCUCUCUCUCUCUCUCUCUCUCUCUCUUUUUGACGACAUGCACUGAGUAUUUUGAAGCUGGAAAACCCAUAAUCAUAAUAAAUUGAACAAGUGUUCAUGAUACAAUUGUGAAUGCUCUUUUCUAAUUAUAGGUUGUGUUGUUACCAUCAGCCUUAGCCUUUUUUUUAAAAAAAAAAUCGUUCCUUGUUUUUUUCUUUGACAACAUGUGCUGAGUGGAGUUGAAAGAAACUAUCAUCACAUAAAAGUUGAACAUGUGUUAAAGACAUAAUCAUGUUUCCAUGCUGAUUACAAAACAUUGUGCACAAGUGCAGUUGUAUAAAUCUUUCUCAUGUUGUUACAUAAUGCAGCUCAUGGUAAACAAUCAAGCUAGAAAUGUUGGAACUGUGUGAAUGGUUUCUUGACUUGAUUUGAGACCAAGUUGAUUUGAGGCCAGAAUUAUUUGCCUAAUGAUAUUAUGAUUAUGAUGUAAUUAUUAAUAUAACAAACCUUUCAUUAUUACAAUAAAGUACAACCAAUUCUUGUUCGCAUGAAUCUCACUUAAGGAAAUCAAUAAAAAGAACAUAUUCUAUUAAAGCUUAUGUUGAUCACUUUUGUUUGGCCUAUUUGAUUUACAGAAGAAUUCAUUAGUAUGGCUUGAAAUACAAACAAUAUGUGGAACAUUGACUAGGAGAAUAUGCAUUUAUUUUAUUCCAUUAUUAAUCAUGGUGUGUCAUUGAUGAUGACUAAAAGCACUAAAAGUGCGUGGGUAUUCAAAGUAAUCCUUUACUAGUUAGUGACAAAAUUUGGAUCUUAGAUUGUUCAGUGCCAUCAUGUUUGGAUUUUCCGUAUUUUUUUCUAUAGUUUGAUUAACUUUGAUCACUAUUAUCAUCAAAUCUGCUUAAUAUGUACCUUAAGUGGCUAGAAUGUUUUAAUCCACAUCCAAAAAUGUAGACUCUUUUUGUUGAAUGGUGAGAGGUAUUUGCACAAACACUGGAUUGUACUUAUAAGCUGAAAUUUUGCAUCAUCGUGUGAUAGGUUCCUUCCAUUUUUUUUUUUGUUAUAAUGAAGCCAUAAGUUACUUUUUCCGCAUCUCUCCUCUUCUUUCAAAACUUGUUCCAUAUCAUAUUUGCCUGUUAUGUAUAGUGAAGGUCUGAAUUGUAAUCAAACUAUUUCACAUUCUCUAGCAUGUUGCGGACAUUUUUGCCGCCUGAUGAUUUGUCUCCUAGUUUUAUCCUAUUCCUCAGGUGAUAAGAAGAACUGUUUCUUCUGACUUCAUUUGAGAUCAAAGCCAUAAAAAUAUCUUCUGUCCUAAACUGCUGGUAUACUAGUAAUAUUGUAUUGGAAAUUUAACACUUGGUUCUUUGUUUGACUUUCAUUUAUGUUUAUCUCAUAUGUACUAAAACAAGGAGAUGAGGAGAAAAAGAAACUAAGGAUAAUAUAAGGGCAUAUUUAUUAGGUGAAGCUGCUCAAAGUUUCUCAAUGGUAUUUUUAGGAAAAUAAUGACAUAGACUUUUGAUCUAUUAUUACAAAAUUCAAAACUUUCAUUUUAAGUAUUUUAUAGAAAGUUUUUUAACUUUCAUUUGCCUUGUAUGGACUGUGUUCAUUUUUUCUGUUAAUCAGUUUAAUGUCUAGUUGCAGAUAUAUGGUAUAGUCAUUCAAGGAUGACUUAUGCAUGCAUCAAAACUAAGAUUUGAAACUAGGUAUUUGUGGAAUUGUGGUCAACUUUGCAAGCUGUUAUGAUGCUUUAUCUAUCAGAAUACCUCUAUAGUUAAGAUGAGAUUGAAAGCCAAUUGAAAUUAUCUCAUUAAUUUUGAGUAGGACAAAAGAUGACUCACAAGACUGGGUAUUCAGUUCAUGUGAAGCCAAAAUAGGACAUGAUUUGGCCUUCUUUUCUGAGGUAUGUUCUCUUUCUCUCUCAUCUUCUUUGCAAUGAUUGUUUUCUAUGUUUUCUCUAGCUAUUUUCUAUUUUUGAGUUGCAUCUUUUAUCAGCAUAAGGACUAGCUUUGGUUGAAGCAACAAACAGCAGUGCUCUAAAAACUGUAACACAAACCAUAGCCUUCAACUUUGCCGCAAAUGCCCAGCUAUCUUGAGAAUGAUUUAUCAGUCCUCAUUAACCAAUCAUUCUAUUAGGGACCUGUUAAUUUUAUGAAUGAAGCCCUAGCAUUGACUAUCACUGAAUAAGGAAUUACCAUAUAGUUUCAGUUUCCAUAUAUGAUACGCUUUCAGUUUAACACUAUCCCUCAACUUUUUUCAUCGAGCUUUGGGCUUGCUGUUGACAAUGUUGGUUAUGCAUUUCUGUGACAAGAGAUAAAAAUUUCUGAUGAUUUUAAACUUAUAUUUGUAGACUUGUUCAUAAAAUGCAAAGUCAAUGGUCAAAUUUGAUGAUAUUACAAGAAUUUGUAACAAAGAGACGCUUUUCUUUAUGUUAAUGUUAAUACUCUGAAGUCUAAAUUUUGAUUUAAGCAUCUAUAUUUUAUUUUUUUUGUUAAUUUAUUUUUCAUGAAGAAAACUUUCUCUAUCUCUGGGUAUAUUUAAAUUCAUUCUUUGUACCGAUUCUACCCAUUUCCUUUUUUACGUCAUCCAAUAAUAAACGCAACCAGAUAUGUCACUCACGACUUGCCUAGAUUUCAGUUUGUUUUGGACAAAUGGCUAAAUUUACAAUCGCAAUUUGCCUGGUUUGGUCAAGUCUCAUGUUUGAAAACCAUGUAUCUCAGAUGAAACAAUCCAUGUUUCAGCAUGAUUGGAUCGAACAAAACCUUAAGAUGUUGGCUUAACUUUUUAUUUGGGACAAGGAAUACUCCAAAGUAUUUACAUGCUGGGGUUAUGAGAUGGUACAACCUUUCCUUAUUCUUGAUCAUGUAUUAUGUUAGAAUUUGUUUCCAUCUCGCACUUGUGAGCCAUUAACUUUGCAAUGCUUUGCCACACAUCCUGAGCCCCUGCUUCUUUCUUUGCUAUAUUCAUCUUGCUGCAAAAUUUAGAGUUGUUUUAGUUAAAGUAUCAUUUCUUUUAUAUAUGGUGUCAUUAGCUUAACACCUUUCUCCCAAUCAACUUUAUUUCAUCAGUAGAUAUUAUUCAUCAUAGUCAUUCCAUUACUUGUUUUGUAAGUAAUUGAAGUCUAAACCUUGUGUAGAAAGUUUAUGAGCCAAUUGCCUUGUUUGGAAGUCAAUAGCUCAAUAUUAGCAAGAUAUUGAAGCUAAGGAGAUUCAGUGUGAGAUGCCAAAGAAUUGUUAGCUGGUUUCUAACUUUUCUUAUUUACUUGUAUAUAUUUAUAAUUAAUUGUUUAAUAUGUGGUUUAAAAAUUUUCUUCAUUUAUUCUUGAAUAUGAUUUUUGUAUUAGCACAAUUUUCCUGUAUCAAAUUUUCAAUAGUUUUAGUAAUUUCCAACAUGACGUGGAUCACCUCACAGCAUCUUCCAAUGCUUCUUUUUUUUCCCAGGACUUGUUCUGUUACUGAAAACUAGAAUGUGCGACUUUUGUGUAUAUUAUUUUAUAUAAAUUCCUACAGCUCUUUCUAUGGUUUUUGCUUAUAUGCAAGUCAUAUUUACCAAUUGAUGUUGCCAUCUUUUCGACCAUACUUUGCAUUAGGUGGCGAUUCAAACAGAUAGUUGCUACAAUAUCUGUGUCUUCUGCCAGUGUCCUGGAUCCCACUUGUGAGUAACGUGUAUCACUUUGUCUUGCUUAUUUAAUUUAUGUAAUCCAUUGGCUUUUUCUUUUGAUUGUGCUUGCUUUAAUGGGCUCUUACCCUAUAUUAUCUUAUCUCAGCAAUGCCAUUUUGAUGUGUUCAUUUCUCAUAACAACUAAGAUAAUGAGCAUUUCUAUUUGGAUACAUUAGAGACAAAUGUGAUCACCAUUUACAAUCUCAAUACCAAGGAGGUGGGGACCAUACCGGUCAGGUAUUGAUAUGGUACCUAACUGAACCAUACUGACACUCAGUUUGUAGAAGCGUACUGGUUUGGUACUGAUUUACUAUUUUUUUCCCCAUUUCUUCAUAUUUUAUGUUUAAGAUUAUUUUAAGCUUUAUGGAUCUUUGACUUUAAUGGUGUUUUGAUAAUAUUUUAUUUUCUGUUGGUCUUGGGAGACCUGUGAUUUUGUAAUGGAUGCAAUUGAAACAAUGUAACAUAGAUUUGUAACAAUGAAGCAGAAACAACGCAUAUCUUUAAGCUUGAAAAUAUGUGUAUCAAAUUGAUUUGAAUUUCAAAAUACAUGUCAGCAUCUAGUCCUUCAAGGAGUGUCUGUUUGCUUCAUAAACGUCAAGAUGAUGUUCAUAGGUGGUGCCUUGGACUUGAGUCCAAUCAAGAUACCAUGCCCAUCCCAACUUUUGAUAAUCUAGGCCUUUUAGAUUUCACCUUGGUACCAAUUGUCUAUAUGAUACUGGGCUGGCCUUUGUUGGAUGCAUAGGUCACCCUUAGAUCUAUAGCAUAUCAUGAAAUCAUGCCAAAAUACAAAAUUUUGGUAUAAUCCCCUAUUUUUACUAUUUUUUGACCUAUUUUAGGCAUAAAGAUGAAAAAAAGGAGAAGAAUGAAGAGGAGGGAUUGGAUUAUACCUGAUUUGGCUUGGAUUUGGGCUAAAAACCAACAAAUCUCCCUUCUCUCCUAAUUUUUCCUUACAAAAGCCAUCCUUCCCUUUAUUGUUUGAGAAGAAAAGAGAGGAGAAUGACAUCCUGUGGCCUUCUCUCUUUUUUGUCAUGGAAUGUGACUUGAACCUAGUCAUACUAAGCAAAAUGGGGCGACUCCACUUGGGUUAGAGUGGCUUAGGCCAGCUUGCACCAAGCCCCGAACUGAUAGGCCAGCUGACCUUGUUCCACACUUGUUCAGUUAAUCGAUUUGUUAUGCCCUGAACCAAGUGGUUCGAGUUAGUUUUGCAAACCAUGAGUGUGAGAAUAGGACUGCAUAUGUUUCCAUGUUCACUAGAUUGGAAUACUUUUCACAUUGAAAAAUGAAUUUCUUUCAUCUAAUUAGAUAUAAUAUGGUGAUGCUGCAUUCAAAGUUUUGUUCAAUUGUCAUCUAAACUCUGCCAAUCUAAAUUAGUUAUUUGAAAACUAGGCUUGCAAUCAUAUCUGCACACUUAAAAUUUUAGCAUGCCCUUAUCGUGAAACUUUUUGGAUAUUUUUACCAUACAAAUGGAGAUAUUUAUAUAAGUAAAUUUAUAAAUAAAUGGAACCACAAUUUGUCCCAUUUUACCCUAUGGUUUCCAAGGAAAAUAUCAGUCCCUGAAUGAUACAAUCUAAAUAAUAACAAUGGGGGAAAUAAGUUUUGAUAGCUAAAUAAAUUUCCCAUUGGUAAUCAUUAUUGAAGCUUCGAAUUUUAAGAUAAUAUAAAUGUAAUCUAAUUAUAUACUAGAUAAAGACCACAUUGGGUAUCAAACUUUAAAAUUCAAAUGGUAGCCAAAGUAAUAGUUUGUACUUCUUUAUGGAAGAAGUGCACUUUUGGAUUCAUCCCUAUUUCUUUUUUUCUCCCCUUUAAUUUUGAAUUAGCCAUGUGGAAAUUAGUAAUCCUUCUUACAUUGUCUAAGUGUCAGUUGACUUAGUUCCUAACAAUCUUUGGAUGUGCUGUAUAGUACAGAGCAACGUUUGCCGAACGUCCCAAAUCGGAUGGUUUAGGUUGUGCCAAAUCAUACUGGCGGAAUACCGGCCCAGUUCUGGCGUGAAAAAUGGUACAGUGGCCAUCUCGAAUGGAGGGAGAAGAAAGAGAGGAAGAGAGAGAGGGGGGAGAGAAGGAGAGGGCCUUCGGCAGCUGCCAUAGGCUGUUCGAGCUCUUUCUGAGCUCGAUAACGGUGGAGGAAGGGAAGAAGAGAGAGGGGGAGAUCGUACUGGAUGAUCGGAGGUCCUUGGAGGCCUUCGGAUGGGCGGCGACGCCGCUGCGAGCUCUCCGAUGGCCGGCGAGCUAGCGUCGAGGGAGAUGAGGGUGGCUGAGGCCGGAGGAGGGCCUCUGCCCUCCUCGAAAGAGGGGUUUGUCUCGAUUUUAAAUUUUUCUUCUUGGUUUUUAACGGGUGAAGUCGGCAAUGCAGUUCCUAACACAUUUUUUUUAUAUAAUUUUGGUUGAAGUCUGCAAAUUGCGUUGCCGACUUAGCCCGUUAAAAAUCAAAAAAACUUUGAAAUAGGAGCGAACCCUUAUUACGAUCUGGUGGAGGACGGAGGCCGUCCUAGCCUCGCCCCCCUCAUCUCCCUUGGCACUGGUUCGAUGGCUAUUGAAGAGCUCGCGGCGGCAUUGCUGCCUGUCUAGAGACCUCUAAAGGCCUCUGGUGAUCCGGUAAGAUCUAUUCCUUUCUCUUCUUCCCUCCCUUCGCCUUCACUAACCUCGAAAAGAGCUCAGAUGGCGGUAGAGGCCCUCUCUUCCUCUUCUUCUCCCCCCUCUCUCUCUUUUUCUUCUCCAUCUCCCCUUCUCUGCCUUGUCAAUUUGGCCUGGCACGGAUCGGUACAUAUCCGUACUGAACCAUACCGUCAGUCGGCUGGCACCAAAUCCGGUUCUGGUUCCAGUUCUAGUUCGGCAGUCCUUGGUACAGAGCAUAUCAUACUGGUAGGUACUAAGACUCAGUAUGCCCCUCAUAUCGAGGGCCGUUACCGAGAUAUGUAUUGUACCAAUACUUGGUAUGUGUUGCACUAUUUGUGCACUGGAACGUGACUGAGAUUGAAAACCUUGCUUCAUGAUCUCAGCAAAACCACAUCUUGCCUAAAACGAUGAGGCAUUCAGAUUUUAUGUUGUGCAUCCAUAGCAUUUUUUUUUGAUGUUCUUGUGAAAUUAUUCUUAAAUAAUUUGUUUUACUUGACUGCUUAUCAUCCUAUAUUAUUAGAAUUUGGUAUGUUCUGUAAUCAUAGGUGCUGCAAUGGAAAAGGUUGCAAGAGAAGUUGCCAUCUUUUUUGUCUUGAUCCGCUUUUGAAAGAUGCUCCCCUUGGACUUUGGCAUUGCCCUUUUUGCGUGGAAAAAAGGAUGAAAUCAGGGGUCCACUCAGUGUCUGAAGGAAUGGAAUUUAUUUUGGAUUUCAAAGAGGGUAAGGACCCAUUUGCAAUUAUUGAAUUAUCUUCAGGUUUCCAGCCUUGCUUUCUUAUCCAGUUGGUAUACUAGGAGAAAUAUGAGCAGUUUCACUAGUAAUACCAUAAAUACUAUUGAAACAGAAAUGCAGGAAGAGAAGUAUUAUCUUGUCAAGUAUAAAGGCCUUGCCCACGUUCAUAAUCGUUGGAUACCAGAAAGCCAGAUGCUUCUUGAAGCUCCUAAGCUUGUGGCUAAAUUUAAUAGGAGACUACAGGAAGGAAAGGUAGCCUACAUUUUAUUGUUAUGUUGUGAUCAACAAUUGUCUUCUGGCUAAGUACCAUUUCCUUUGAAAACUCAGCUACAUAUCAUUUGUUUAUGGAGUACAAAUUUAAGUUUAUCAACAGGUCAUAAGGUGGAAACAUGAGUGGGCAAAACCUCACCGUCUGCUGCAGAGAAGAUAUUUAAUGCUCCCAGAACUGGCCGACGACAGUCUUUCUGGAUUUUGCCACCAGGAGUGGCUUGUGAAAUGGAAAGGUCUUGGUUAUGAUGAAGCUACAUGGGAAUUUGAGAAUUCAGAAUUUUUGUGCUCACUGGAAGGUAUCGCACUGAAAAAAGGAUUAUGAAAGACGCCGUGAGGAGGCAAAGAAAGCAUCUGAUCCUUCAAACACUGACAAGGUGGUUUACAUACUGCCAAUAAAUAUAACUCUUUUUUUUUAGUGCUUAUGCAUGGUCUAUUAAUCAAUAGGUUCUGUUGAAAGUGCAAAGCAUUACCUUUGUUUCCCUUCCUUUGAGAAACACAUGGUUGUUUAUUGAAGUAUACAAUGUCCAAGCGGAGUGGAUGUGGUUUCCUGUGUAACUGACAUAUCAGAAACAGAUUUUUGCGGUGUAAAUUUAUGGAUUUUUGUAUGUUUAAAAAUGCAUAAUGGAAACAAGAAGUAACAUCUUGUAUGACUGCAUGUCUUUAACAUGCCUGAUUUUAUGGUCCACCGAAUCUGGUGUAGCUGUUACUUGAGCCAUCGAGUGAUGAAUCUCAUUGUGUCUUCGCUUGCUAGUCUUAUUGGUACAUUACUGGGACCUUUUGGUUCACUAAAAAGCACCCACAACGGACACUUAGAAAUGGGUAUUGAUAUAAUACUUGGGUAUGAAGUAUGAACACUUAAGAAAUAAUUGUUAAAUAUUAGAAUUAUCUAACACUUAGACAUAUAUGCACUGGAGACUCGUAUGCAGGUCCGAGUAAUAUAGUCUAUUGGUGAAAUUGCUCUUCUUAGUUGGAUACCGACUUCCAAUGAUCUUUAUCUAUUAUUAUAUUGGUCAGAUGACUAUAAUGCCUGAAUUUGUUGAUAAUGCCUGGUUACUUAUGUAAUUGUUCCAAUAAUUUGAUUUAGUGCCACCUAGUUGUUCAGACAAUUUAUCAUCAAAAUCAUGAUCUUGAAUUGAUGGGAAGCAUGAUCUCGCUUUUUCUCAAAGUGAUAUCUAAGAUGUCAUGUGGUUAACCUACCUAGCGAUGUCAAAUGAAUUUGAUGGAAGUUGAUAGUAGUAUAAGAGGCCGACCUUAAAUAGAUGGGAUAUGGUUGGAUGGUAGUUGUUGUAACUCGUGAUAAUAAGUUGACACCACUUGUUUCCAAUUUGAUAAUAAGAAAGCUUUCUUUAUUUUAUCCUUUCUAACAACAAUAGUUUUCAUGUGCUGCUUUAUGAUUCUAAAUUGAUUGUCUCUAAAUUGAUUGUCUUUAGUAUUUGUUGCUUCACAAUAUUAAGCUUGGAUGUAUUCUUCUGCUUUUUCAUCAACCUUCAUAGUUGAUCAAGGAGGAUCACUGUACCUUUUAUGGGCCACUUUGGCUACUUCAAGUUGGCCUAGAUAGGGUUUGGGACCAAUAUCCACCACAUCCAUGCCUCGAUCUCGAAUCAAGACUAUAGUUAGCUUCAUUUAGGUCCAGCAGGACAUUUCGCGGAAAAUCUGUUAGAAAACUGGAUAGGCAGCAUGUGUAGAUUUCAAAACUUUGAAAAUAGAUAGCGGAAACAAAUCGGGUUAAACCUUUUAACUCCAUAUGCAAGAUACCAGAUCUAAACCUACUCAAGUCUAGGAGAAAGCACAUAUUAUCAAUCUGGAAUUUAAAAAAAUUUAUGAGAUCAGAUCUUAUUACUUUGGUGCGGGUAGCUAUUCACCGUUUCUGAUGAUCUCAGAUUCGUAUAAGGUUGAGCUGCACAUGUGUCCGGCCUCUAUAGGUAUCCAUCGGGAUCAAUCUUAAAUUUUUUUCUUCGUAGAAGAUUCUUCUUCUCAAGAAGAACUUUGGCCUUGAAGAUUUUGAUCAACUCCUUUGAUCUUAACUACGAGAUCAACUCCUUGAUCUGCAGUCUUCUUCUUCUUUUCCUCGAUUUUUGAUCUCUAAGUCAUCAAUACUUCUUCUUGGCGUGUGGAAGAGAGAACACCCAACUUUUGGGCAUGGAAAUGAAGAAAAUGAUGAGAGAAGGUGUGGAGAUGGAGAGGGAGGAAUUUUGUUGAUAAAAAAUUCAUUCUUUGAAACCCUAGAGACCUUCCUUUUAAAUAGAUACUACCCUGACUCUUGGUGCCCCACAAAGAGAUCUUUAGCCAAAAAUAAUGGGGCGUGGAUGCCACUCUCUCCACGCCAUGACACGUAAGAGGGGUGGGCCCCUCUAGGAUAUGGCAUCCAAAAUUUUUCAAAAAGAAAAAGAUGUGUCACCCAAUCUUCUAUCUAUUCUACAUGCAUACUUAGAGAUAAUCAGGAGAUAAAGAAGAGAUAAUGUUAGGAUAAUUAUGCUAACUAGUUGACUUGAUCAAAUCCUCUUGGGCUCACAAUUAAGAGCCCAAUUAAACCUAAAUGAAUUUAGGCUAGGUUCAAGGUCAUGGACUUGAUCAAAUUAAAGUCUUGAGAAGAAUUAGGUUUAACCGUAUGCUAGCAUGGUUCUCAUAAAUCUAAUAGAAUUUCAAUCAAUCCUAAUCCAAUUAGAACUUCAUAAGUCCAACUGGCAAAUUUGAGAUUAAAUCUUUUAAUGUGUGAUCCCAUAGGUUUCAUUCUAUCUGGUAGUGAGAUAUAUUAUGAUCUCUAUCACAAUAUCAUCGAAACUCUUUUUGAUAGAUUGGAACAUUUUCAAUUCUACUCUUCGAGGGCCAUCGAUCAUUAAGAUGAUGUCCGAUGAGUCUUACAAUCCAUCAGUGACACUUAGCAGUAUGUAGUGGCAAUCCAGUAGAAUAAAAGUACGAACCUUUAGGUGCAGUUAUCGUAUGAUUCAGUUUUUUAUCGUGACUCCCGAUUUGACGAAGGUCAUGGAGAACUCGUCAAAUNNNNNNNNNNNNNNNNNNNNUUUUUCAGUAUUUACUCUUGCUUUGGUCAAAGACUUUCUGAACUCAGUCUCGUAAAUCGCAUAGGUCUUUUCUUUUUCUAUCAAGAUCGAUAGAUCCCAUCUAAGUACAUUUUACUUCGAACAGCGAAUCUGAAUUUACUGAAGCCAACAUACGUAGUAAGGAUUCAAAUGGCUAGGGACUAAAAGAACGUGCAGUCAAAUCCAGUAGCCUCGCUGCGAAUAGUCAAUGCCACCGUAGGUCAAAGGGCCACUCACACCACUGCAGCAUCGAGAAAAUCACUGACGAGUGAGUAGACAUCCAUGUGAUUUUCGUGUUGGUUACGUUCAGUGCAAGUUGUUCUCUAACAAUCACCUACACCUUCAUUCCAGUGUCUCUACACCGCAGAUCCGGAACUCAUCUGUCCACAAGAGAGGUGAACCGUGUACCGAUUUCAAAUGGAUUGAUCACUGUUCUCCAUGAUGAUCUUUUGACUGGGAGCAUUUAGAAAUUAACCACUAAUUAAUAUAUGUCUCAAAUUUUUAACUUUUUAAGAAUAUACAAAAAUUAUUUUUGUUAAUUUCUAAGAUAAAUCAUGGACACAUAAACAUGAUUGGAAUGAAAAAAUCUUUUAUUGAUAAUAAAAAGAUUAUAAGUACAAGCUCAGGUCCUAGAAUUACAUAAUGUGUCAGCUAACAAUUGGUUUUUAGGGUACAAAUCCAACAAACUCUCACUUGAUCUAAAGCUAAUUGGCCAUAUACCUAAGAUCUAUCUUCUCAAGGUGAGCUUCAGCCUUCUGUUGUUUGAGAGGCUUGGUCAGCAGAUCCGCCAUGUUCAGCACGGAAUCGUCUCUCUGCACUUCGACAAACUUCUUCUCGAGGUAUUCGCGUAUGAUGUGAAAUCAUCGCUCUAUGUGCUUGGACUUCUGGUGUGAUCGGGACUCCUUAGCGAGGGUUAUGGCAUCGUUGUUGUCACAGUGUAGUGCAAUGGCAUCUGAUAUUAUCACAUCUAGCUCCGCAACGAACUUUUUGAAUCAAAAAGCUUCCUUAGUAGCUUCAGAGGUGGCGAUGUACUUGACUUCCAUGGUCGAAUCUGCAAUGAUCAGCUGUUUGAAAUUUUUCUAGCUAACCGCACCAUCAUUACACAAGAAGAUACACCCCGAUGUGGAUUUUUUAUCAUCGACAUCAGUCUUAAAGACUGAAUCAGUGUAUUUCUCAACUUUUAGCUCCGAUCCUCCACUAAAGAUCAACAUCAAAUUCAUAGUCUUUUUCAAGUACUUAAAGAUGUUUUUAACAGUAAUCUAGUGUUGUUCACCUGGAUUUGCUUGAUAUCUACUCGUGACGCUCACAACAAGUGCUAUAUCAGGGCGUGUGUAUAACAUGGCAUACAUGAGGCUCUCUAUUGCCGAAGCAAAAGGGAUCUUGCUCAUGCGCUAGAUCUCCUCAGGUGUGUCAGGACACAUCUUCUUGGAGAUGAAUGCCAUGUCUUAGAGGCAAAAGAUCCAUUUUGGAGUUUUCCAUGCUGAACCUCUUCAGCACCUCCUCUAUGUACAUAUGCUGUGAGAGUCCUAUCAUUCUCUUAAAUCUAUCUCUAUAGAUCUUUAUACCAAGAAUAUAGGAAAUUUCUCCUAGGUCUUUCAUGGCGAACUCUUUUGACAAUCAUACUUUGACCAACGUCAGCAUGGGAAUAUCAUUCCCAAUCAGGAGGAUGUCGUCCGUACAAUAUGAGGAAUGUGACAGUGCUUCCACUGACCUUUUUGUACACACAUGGCUCAUUAUUUUUGAUGAAAUCAAACAUUUUGAUCACAUCAUUGAAGCGAGUGUUCCAACUCCGAGAUGCUUGUUUGAGUUUAUAUAUGGACCUUUGCAGCUUGCAGAUCUUGUGAUCGCUAUCACUGGACGUGAAACUUAGAGGCUGCUCAAUAUAUAUAUCUUCCUUAAGAUAUUCAUUUAGGAAGGCAGUUUUCAUAUCCAUCUGUCAGAUUUCAUAAUCAUGAAAUGUUGCUAUGACAAGUAGAGUACAAAUGGAUUUCAGCAUAGAUACGGGUGAAAAGGUUUCAUGAUAAUCGAUGCCUUCACGUUGACUAUAAUCUUUCGCGACUAGUCUUGCCUUAUAGGUCUCUACCUUACCAUCCGAUCCAAUCUUCUUUUUGUAAAUCCAUUUACACCCAAUAGGUAUAAUACUUUUAGGUGGAUCUACUAAGGAUCAAAUCUGGUUGGAAUGCAUGGAGUCGAUUUCUGACUUCAUCGCUUUCAUCUAUUUUUCGGAGUCUACAUCUAACAUUGCCUCAUCGUAGGUUUUGGGAUCAUUCCUAAUGUCCCUAUCUCCCAUCAGGAAUACUUCUUCUAAAUCUUCUGUAAGAAUAUCUAAGUAUCUUUCAGAAGGAUAGGAUAUCCUACUUGAUCUACGAGGUGGAGGAGGUAUCACAUCUACUGGCUCAUUAUUGGGUUCAGGUUCUUGGACUCGAUGCUCUCCAGAGACUCUUCGAGUUUAAUCUUCCUCCCACUGCCUCCAUCUUGGAUAAACUCUUUUUUCAAGAAUAUGGCAUGAUGGCUCACAAUCACAUUAUGAUCCUCAGGAAGAUAGAAGUAGUAUCCUAUGGUUUUCUUAAGAUAUCCUAUAAAACGAGUCUUAAAAGAUCUAGCCUCUAACUUGUCCGCCUGCUGUCGCUUGACAUGGGUCGGACAUCUUCAAAUCUUGAGGUACCCAAAAGUUGUCUUCUUACCAUGCCAUAACUCAUAUGGUGUGGUAGGAACAGAUUUAGAGAAAAUCCGAUUCAAGAGAUGAAUCAUAGAAAGCAAAGUAUGUCUCCAGAGAAAAUCAGGAAGGUCUAUAAAGCUCAUCAUGGUUCGGACCAUAUCUAAUAGGGUCUGAUUCUUCUUUUCGGAUACUCUGUUGAGCUGAGAUGUCCAUGGAGGUGUCCACUGUGAGACUAUGCCAUUGUCUUUGAGAUAGGUCCGAAAUUUUUCAUUAAGGUAUUUUUUUCCUCGAUCUGAUCGAAGAAUUUUUAUGGGUUUUUCAGUUUGUUUUUCUACUUCGUUUCUGAAUUUUAUGAACUUUUCAAAAGCUUCAGACUUUCGGUGUAUCAGAUACACAAAAUCAUACUGUGAAUAAUCAUCGGUAAAGAUUAUGAAGUAGAUAUAGCCGCCCUUAGCUUGUACAUCAAAUGGACCACAUACGUUAGUGUGUGCUAGGGCUAAUAUCUCAGUGGCCCUUUCUCUUUGUCUUACAAAGGGCAGCUUGGCCAUUUUUUCUUGAAGACACGAUUCACAGACGGGAUAAGACUCGAAAGUCAAUAAUCCAAGAUGACCAUUUUUCUCCAGUUUGUUGAGUCUGUCCUCUCCAAUAUGGCCUAGCCUAAGGUGCCAUAAAUAUUUAUGGCUAAUCCUAUCUCUAGGUCUCUUAGAUCCUAAGGCAUUCACAAUUUGCUUGUUAAUGUUUAUACUUGCAUCGGUAUGCAAAUGGUAAAGACCGUCAAUCAAGAAAGCACGUGCCACAAGUUUAUUUCCAAAAUAAAUAGAACACAUGUCUUUAUUGAAAUGAAAAUUGUAAUUAUCUUGUGCCAGUACAAAGACAGAAAUCAAAUUUCGACUAGCUACAGGUACAAAGUAACGGUCCUUUAAAAGCAAACUAAAUCCUAACGAUAGUCGCAGAAGGUAGGUUCCGACGGCCACAGCAGCAACUCUUGCUCUAUUGCCGACUCGAAGAGUGAUCUCGUCUUUUCUCAGCCCCCUAACUUCUUCAAAACCCUACAUUGAAGUGCAUAAAUGAGCACUCGAACCAGAAUCAAGAACCCAACUAGAAGAAGAAGAAAUCGUUAUAUUAGUUUCUAUAACGAGCAACUCUGACGUACCUUCAGAAGGUCCAUCUUUCUUUCUGUUCUUGACAGUCGUCAGGUAGGUCGGACAGUUUCUUCUCCAGUGGCCUUCGACAUUACAAUGAAAAUAUUUUUCUUUAUCGUCGGCCUUCUUAAGAACCUGUUUUUUGGGCUUGGCUUCGUUCUUUUUCUUCUUUACGGGCUUUUUCUUCUUCUUGAAAGAAGACUUCCUUUUGGAGGAAGCUUGCUCCACAGCCAGAACUGUGCCUCUUGAACUCUUCAAGAUGCCCUCUGCAGUCACCAGCAUAUUCAAUAACUCUGGCAAAAGGGCAUCAAUCUUAUUCAUAUGGUAGUUCAUAGUGAACUGCCCAUAUGAAUCAGAAAGAGACUGGAGGAUUAGAUCCACCUACAGUUCUUUGUCCAUAUUCAUAUCGAGCUUCUGAAGCUCCUCUAUGUCCUUGAUCAUUGUCAAACAAUGAUCAUUGACGGACUGUCCAUCACGCAUUUUCAUUCUGAAAAGUCUUCUGAAGACCUCAAAGCGAGCUGUGCGACUCUAUUCACCAUACAAUUCUUGCAGGUGAACCAGCAUCUCUCUGGCAGUCCUCGUGUCUUCAUGCUGUUACUGAAGAUCAUUGGACAUGGAUGCUAAGAUAUAGCACUUUGCCUUAUAAUCUUUAUCCAUCCACUUCUUAAGUGCAGCUCGUUGAUCAGCAAAUGGGCGAGCAAGUAACGUGGGUGCUUCCUGGUCGAGGAUAUGGGUGAGUUUUUCAGAAUUAAGAACGAUUCUCAGAUUUUGGAGCUAGUCUUUGUAAUUGGUGUCGGUCAACCUAUUUGUAUCAAGAAUUCGGACUAAGAGGUUUGAACUCGACAUGAUUAUCUGCAGAGAGAACAGUUUCUAGUUAGAUUUUGUACUUAUAAUAUUGUUUGUUCUAGGGACUUAAAAAAAAAAGGCUCUCAUUAUUUUUUUUGAAUCUUCCACACCUCGGGUGGAGAAAUGAAAAUCUAUACGUGAUCGGUUUUAAGUGGGUACUGCGGUCCCAUUAAUCUAUACACACCUUACCUAACAGUUAUUGGUGAGUACAGACCAAUGAGUAGACAAUAUUUUGUCCAUUGCUUCAUUAAGUAAGAUGCAGUGGGCUUGGUCUCUAAGUUCUGUGGCCUCACCUAACAGUUAUUGGCACAUUCUUUAGUUAAGUCAGACCCAUCGUUUACCAGCGGGAGCAAAGCCGUCAUUGGGAUCCUCACCUAACAGUUAUUGGGCCCAACCCCAUCUCUACCUCGGGACAUCAAAUGUCAAUAGAGUGGUUGUACCUUUUCGGUGCAAUCGAAUCACUGUAACCANNNNNNNNNNNNNNNNNNNNGGAUUUAGGCCUCUUCUAAAUUAGCAAUUCUGACAUCCGACUGAUUAAAUUAGGUCAGCACAUCAAUAUGUCUCACCAACCUAGUUGACAUGGAUGAACUUGAGUCAACAAGUAACCUAACACGAAACUGAAUCUCUCAAUAUGGCCAGAUAAGUUAAGAUGUGUGGGGGUCCCCCUGUUGCUUUCUUUAGACACUAAUCAAAAUUGAUCAGGUCAGACAAUAGAACCAACUAAAUAAUCACCAUCUAAAUACUUGCUUUAGACAUCAAAUUGGUCGAUUAGAAUCAAUUAGAUUAACCUAUUAAAAUGGAUCCGAACCACUGAGCCAAAUUCGAUAUUGAGUCAAUCAACUCACAUCAAAAUGUGAAUCGAUGCGACCAACUAUAACUAGAGUCGACUUUGAGCCUCUUUGAUCUAAUCCUAAUCAUCCAUUGAUUAGGUUAAAUCAACUGCGCAAAAUCAAAAACAGGUUCUAGUCUGAUCUAAUGAAUUAGACCUUAAUUGUAGUUUGAUCACUUAGACCUAAUUUGUUCAACCCAUACCCACAUGUAACAACACAAUUUCAGAUCUAAAAAUGAUUUUUAGAUUAUGUUUAAUUGCAUGCAAUUAAUGGCUUAUGAUCUUGAAAUUGUUUCAGAUCUACAUCUAGUUUUAUAUAUCGAAUAUACGUAGUUUCCGAUUUAAAUCAAAUUUGCAUCACAUAUACAUUUAUUUCAGAUCUAAAACUAAAUUUACACAUAUCAAAUAUGUAUAAAAUCAGAUCUGAAAUAAUGAUUGAAAUAUUUCGAAAACAUCUUUUUCAAAAACUGAUUCACAUCAAACUAGGAUAACCUUUACAAUAUAAGGGGUAAAUCCUAUAUCAGGAUAACCUUAUAUUAGUUUAAUGUGAACUUUUAAUCAUUGUAAUUUUAGAUUUAAACACAAAAUUAAACAUAUCACAUAUGUUAAUUUUCAGAUCUAAAAGAUUUGAUUUAAUUGUUUCGAAAACAGUUUUUCAAAAUCGAUCAAUCUUGUGUUAGGACAACUUUUGCAAUAUAGGGGGUAAAUCCUAUAUCAGGAUAAUCUUACAUUAGCACAAAAUUGAUUUUAAAUCAUUAAAACUUUCAGAUCUAAUCUAAAAACCAGAUUAUAUGUGUUUUCAAAAUCUGGCUCUGAUACCACUGUUAGAAAAUCGGGUAGCAGCAUGUGUAGAUUUUAAAACUUUGAAAAUAGAUAUCGGAAACAAAUCGGGUUAAACCCUUUAACCCCACAUGCAAGAUACCAGAUCUAAACCUACCCAAGCCCAGGAGAAAGCACAUAUCAUCAAUCUGAAAUUUAGAAAAAUUUAUGAGAUCAGAUCUCAUUACCUUGGCGUGAUAGUUAAUUCGUCGCUUCUGAUGAUUUCGAAUUCGUAGAAGGUUGAGCCGCACACAUGUCCGGCCUAUACGGGUAUCUACCUGGAUUAAUCUCUAACUUUUUCUUCUCGUAGAAGAUUCUUCUUUUCUUCUUGGUCUUGAAGAUUUUGAUCAACUCUUUUGAUCUUAAUUGCGAGAUCAACUCCUUGAUCUGCAGCCUUCUUCUUCUUCUCCUCAAUCUUUGAUCUCUAAGUCACCAAAUUACCAAUACUUCUUCUUGGCAUGUGGAAGAGAGAGCACCCAACUUUUGGGUGUGGAAAGGAAGAAAAUGAUGAGAGGAGGCGUGGAGAUGGAGAGGGGGAGGAAUUUUGUUGAUCAAAAAUUCAUUCUUUAAAACCCUAGAGACCUCUUUUUUAAAUAGAUACUACCCUGACACAUAUUAGGAAUCCAAUUAUUUUAAAAAGGUAUAUCCUUAUCUCAUAAGAAUCCUCUACAUUUUUAAUCUGAUUUAUGCCAAAUAAAAUCAGAUAUAAAUGAUAAUUAAUCAGUCCUUUUAAGCAUGUAUAAGAGGCAUCCAUGGAAUACAUGUCAGGUGGUUAGGGCGCCAACUCUUGAUGCCCCACAAAGGGAUCUCUAGUCAAAAAUAAUGGGACGUGGACGCCACUCUCUCUCCUCCAUGCCAUGACAUAUAAGUGGGGUGGGCCCCUCUAGGAUAUGGCGUCCAAAAUUUUUCAAAAAGAAAAAGAUGUGCCACCCAAUCUUCCAUCUAUUCCACAUGCACACUUAGAGAUAAUCAAGAGAUAAAGAAGCGAUAAUGUUAGGAUAAUUAAGUCAACUAGUUGACUUAAUCAAAUCCUCUUGGGCUCACAAUUAAGAGCUCAAUUAAACCUAAAUGAAUUUAGGUUAGGUUCAAGGCUAUGGAUUUGAUCAAAUCGAAGUUCCGAGAAGAAUUAGGUUUNNNNNNNNNNNNNNNNNNNNAGAUUGGAAUAUUUUCAAUUCUAUCCUUCGAAGACCAUCGAUCAUCAAGAUGACGUCUGAUGAGUCUCACAAUCCACUAGUGACACCUAGCAGUAUGUAUUUGCAACCCAAUAGAAUGAAAGUACGAAUCUCUAGGUGCAGUUAUCGUAUGAUUUAGUCCUUCUAUCGUGAGUCCCGACUUGACGGAGAUCAUGGAGAACUCGUCAAACUUAAUUAUCAGUCAUAUGCUAGAUUGGCUCGACUCGAGUUCAUUUGUGAAUUUCGUGGAAACUCUUUUGCAGUAUUUACUCUUGCUUUGGUCAAAAAUUUUUUGAACUCAGUCUCGCAAAUCGCAUAGGACUUCUCCUUUUCUACAAAGAUUGAUAGAUCUCAUCUAAGUGCAUCCUACUCUGAAUAGUGAACCUGAACCUAUUGAAGCCAACAUACGCAGCAAGGAUCCAAAUGGCUAGAGACCAAAGGAACGUGUAGUCAAAUCCAGUAGCCUCGCUGCGAAUAGCUAAUGGCACUGCAGGUCAAAGGACCACUCACACUACUGCAGCAUCGAGAAAAUCACUGACGAGUGAGUAGACAUCCAUGUGGUUCUCGUGUUGGUUACGCUCAGUGCAAGUUGUUCUCUAACACCCAUCUGCACUUUCACCCCUGUGUCUCUACACUGCAGACUCGAGACUCAUCUGCCCAUGAGGUGAACCGUGCAUCGAUCUCAAAUGGAUUGAUCACCGUCUUUCGUGACGAUCUUUUGAUCGUGAGCAUUUAGAAAUUAACUACUAAUUAAUGUAUGUCUCAAAUUUUUAACUCUUUAAGAAUAUACAAAAAUCAUCUUUGUUAAUUUUUUGGACAAAUCAUGGACACAUAAACAUGAUUGGAAUGAAAAAGCCCUUUAUUGAUAAUAAAAAGAUUACAAGUACAAGCUUAGGUUUUAGAAUUACAUAAUGUGUUAGCCAACAAUUGGCUUCUAGGGCACAAAUCCAACAAAAUCGAGAUAGGGUACCAUCUCAUGUGUUGGGACAUGGCCGUCCCGCUAGCGUCUCGCCGUCUCAAUUGGGAUGUCUUGGGACAUCCUCUGUACCAAGUGUCGCGAUGGAGUGGGAUGGCGUCGUGUCCCGUUCUAUGAAAAAAUCGGGAUAACCUCAUCCUACGGGAUUUAAAAACUUGGUUAGCCUAACUUUCUAAUCUAGGAGGAAUUUGAUGUCCUGAUAGGAGAGAGUUGACGUAGGAGUGAAGAUAUAGCUCUAAGAUGAAUUUCAUCUUAAUGGAAAAUUCUUACUGUUUUAGAAAAAUAUUUACCUCUUCUAACUAAAGUAAUCUAUUCAGAUUUUGAAAGGGCAGACCUCUCUAGUAUAAAUGGAGGUCGUGUAUCACAGCGUAUACAUUGAUUAGAAAAAAUGUAAAAACUAUGCUUUCUACCUAAUUCCACUUUUAUAUAAAAGAGUAAGUUGACCUGGAUUAGGGACUGGAACCUCACUUGUGUAAAUAGAGGACUUGUGUAAUAGUUUUAUCCAAGGUUUGCCAUACCGUGUCGAACCGGCCGGUACAUCCCAUCUUGUAAUGGACCGGCAGAGAACCGGCACGAUUCGGCCGGUAAAAUCGGUACACCGGUGGUAACGAAGAAAAAAAAAUGAAAAGUGAGAAAGAGAGAGAGAGGGGAGGGGAGGGAGAGAGGUGGGAGCUGUCGGAGGCCGGUGGUGGCCGGCUGUGGCCGUCGGAGGGCGUCUGAGCCCCAUAUCGUCCGAUAGGGCUUUCAAGAGAGCAAAAAAGAGAGAGAGAGCGUUCGGAGGGGGGGGCGGAGAACCUAUCGGACAGACGGUGCCUCCGUUGCGAGGGUCCCGGUGGCCGACGAGCUGACGCCGACGGCCUGAGGGCGAUCGAGCGGGUGGAGCCCCUCCGCGGCUCCGCCCCCUUCUUUUUCGAAACAGACGAUAAAAAAAAAUCGUGAAGUCGGCAAAUCGUUUGCCGACUUCACUUAAAACCAUAUUUUUUUAAAAAAUUUGCAAAACAGGGGCGAUGCCCCUGUUUCCCGCUUGCGGCGCCGUGCACGUGGACUACGCCCUCCAACGGCUACGGCGGCCAGUUGGAGGCCGUCCGGCGGCCCCGCCGGCUCCUUCCCCUCUCUCUUUUUUUUUUCUUCUUCUUUCUCUCUAUUUCUCUUCUGGUUCGGGUCGUCGGUUCGGUAUGGUAUGAAACCAUACCGAAUUGUACCGCCAGCCGGCCGAAACGGCCGGCGGUACCGGUUCAGCAUACCUUGGUUUUAUCUAUCUUUGAUUAAAGUAAAGGAUUUAGAAGUUAGAACCCUGCUUUUGAAAAUACUUAAUAUUCUUUUUUUAAUUAUUAUUUUAAGAGAUUUGAGUAAAGCAGAUUGAAGGAAUUCCUUUUUUUUGUCUCCAAUCAGAAAAAUAAUUCAUCCAUAAUGAAAAGUUGUUCCGCUAUAAAAUUCCAAAAACCUGAUAUUUAAUUUGUUCUUGUGUAGAGCUCUGUUACAAGUAACAUAGUUCCACAACAUGUCUAACAUUAAAGCUCCAUGGAAUAUCCCACUUUUUAGAUAUCUUUAGCAUAAUUUCAAUGUGGUCAUAACUUCCCCUAUCAUAUUUUGCAGAUAUGUUAAACUACAAAGUGACCAUUAUUCCUAUUCUUACCUUGUAUUAAUGAUGUUUCAAAGCUACAUUUCUUUGAUAGUCCGGUAUCAUGACUCAUGAAGUGGAAAAGCCUAGGGUCUGCACUUCUGCAAUGAUAAAGCCUAGUGUCACUAAAAAAUAAUGUGUCCUCAAGUACUUGAGAACUAAAGACUGUCGCAGGAUACCUGAAGAGGCUGACUUGUAUCAGUGGCACUAGUAGUGAGAAAUGGAGAAGACUUUGCUUUGCCUUCAAUUGCUUUGUAGUUGUUUCCACUUUAAAAAUCAUGUGUUCUUCAUCACGUGGAUCUUACAUUUGUCGGUAUUGGAAAUUAUAUUGAUUGAUAUAAAUUUAAGUAAUGAUGAUUGUUCAUUUGUGCCAUUUCUUGCCAAUUCCUGUCAUAUCCUGCUUGAUGCUUUUAUUUUGUGCUUGUAUGUGUUACUGAUAAACUGAUAAAUAUUGAUAAAAUUUCAGGCUCUGUUGCUAAAGAACACUCCAUUUUCCAAGCUUUAUACAUUGCCAGAUGGAUGCUCACCACGAUUUGAUAAAAAAUAUCUAAAGUCUAUCAACAAACUUCUUGAGUUCUGGCACAUGGGAAGAAAUGCUGUUUUAAUUGAUGAUCAGGUAAGACUUCUUUAUUAAGGUUUCAUCCUUGUAUGCUAUGGUGAAUUACGAAAGCUAUAAAAAUGAUCUUCUAUUAUUCUGUGAUAUCAGUUAUAACUUUUCCGUUUGUUGCUGGCAACAGCCAAAAUUAUUUAAGCUGUUUAUUGAUCCCAUACGCUGCUUGAUGGUGAUGCCAAUUUUACUAUCAUAGGUUUGUGCUUAAUGGAGAUUAUGCAUAGUUAGUUGUUUAUGAACAUGACUGAAAAGAGAACCUUGUUGGAGAUUGAUGCCUCCCAUCUUGAGGGUCCAUCACACACUAAAGAUUGGGAGGCCUUGCGACAAAAAUAGGACCAUAGACUUACGUAACAAAAAGUUGACAAUUUAUCUGAAGAAUUUCUUCAAAAACACUACGAUGAAAAGUAUAAUGCUUCUUUGAAGGAAAGUUCAAAUAAUUUGUUGCAGGUUGCAAAAUUAGAUUGCUGUGGACUAGAUUCUAAAAACAGUACAUUGUUCAACAUUCCUCAAGAAAAUGCUUAUGCCAAUCAUCAAAAACCCUUGUUACUCUUUGAAGUCCUGGAAAUCUAUAAGUUUAUGGGAAAUCCUCAAGUUUCUGCAGAGAAAAGCAUGCACAUAAUGGAUCAGCCUUGUCAUAUUUGAUUGAGGUGGCUGUGUGGAUCAUGUUUGUAUUUGUUUCUUUCAUUCUAUUGUCAGAUUCUCCGAAAUGGGAAGUAUGUUCAAAUUCCUUCAUGACAUUCGUUUUUUUUCUGCUUAAUGAUUUCCUCUUUUCUGUUUCUUUGCAUCAAUUUCUGAUUCCCUUCUCAUCAGGCACUUUGCCAGGUUGGUGGGGUACAUGGUUGAACCAUCUCAAAUGACUAAUCAGUAUGUUGUCCUCAAUGGGUUUUGCUACUAUGUUUCCUAUAAGUUACAUGCAUCUAAGGCUAUUCCAUCUAACAAUUUUUUUGCCAUAUGCAUGCCCUAGAGUCCAGUUCCAUGUAUUGAUCAUUUGAUGCUUGAGUACCUUUUGUAUUAUUUGAUAUAGUCUGUACAAUGUAAUAAACCGUACAAUAUCUAUAUAGGAGUUCUUAUUCAUUCUUAAUCUCAAUGGCCUUUAAGAAUCACUUAACUCUUUAUAGAUAUACUUCCAUUCAUCAGUCAUUGUUGAAUAUGCUCAUUUAUCUCUUUAUCCUUUUGUAGAACAAAUUUAUGAUGACAUUUGCAAUUUGUUUGGGUCUCUGCAGUCAAUAAUAUUUAGUUCAACUAUAUCAUUGAUCCAUAAAUAUUCAUUCUAAUGUUGCCUAGAAGCUGGAUACAGGGUUUUAUAUAUCAACCUGUACUGGUUGGAAUGGGAUAUAUCAUUACUGAUUCAGUGAGACAUAGGAAUUUGGUGUGCCUCUUGUAGUGACACAGAGAACAGCUACCGUGCUGACUCCAUCAGUGUCCCAUGUGUUUGUAUGGGGGUGUACUGUAUGGAUCAAUUGGUAGGGUGCCAGCUGUAUGGGGUCCAGUAAUGACACUUAAAUUAUGGGGUGGAUGAUUAUUUAGCAUGCAAAUUAUGGGGUGGAUGAUUAUUUAGCAUGCAAAUUCUUUUAGAAGAUAUAAAGUGCUGGGCACAUGUGAUGCACAAAAGAUCAUUUAAUGGAUGGCUAUGAUACCAUCAAACAUUUUUGCAGUGAAUUUGAAAAUGACACUCCAUUUUUUUGUUCAUGCACUUCUCUUCUUUUUAUAUAAUUAUUUGUUAGAGUAACUAUGAAACAAUAUAUUUGGUAAAGAGUCUGUAUUAGAUCUGCUCAUCGGGUGGGCCGGGCUUAGCCUUAGGUAUGACCAAAAUUAUCCAAGCCUGAGUUCGGCUUGGUUUAGUCUUCUGGCCUACUUCCCAGGCCCAAGCUCAGUAGCUUCACAUUUCGGGCCGGGCCUUGGGCUUUCUGGACUAAGUGGGUUGCAUGCUGUUUAACUUUGAGCCCACCAUUCACUAUUUAUAGCUCUCUCUUUAUGGAUUUAAAGAGUGGGGAAGAAGAAGAUAAGGAGAAUGGAAAUGAAACUUAGGAUUCACUUCACUCCCUUGCCUCCUUGAUCGAUGAAUCAAAAACCUAGAAAGAGUUCCCUCGAAUCGGCCGGAGUAAACUGUAAGCCCGUUGAAUUGGAGUCAAGAUGGUGUUUGAUUUUGCUCCAUUCUUGACCUCUUUUCUUUUCUUUGUUUUUAAUAUUUGUGAGAGAGUAAGAUUUUAGAUGGUGGAGUUGAGCGGUGGUGGGAAGGGGUCUAUGGAGGAGGAGGUGUUAGGCAAUGCGGUUGCCACCAUAGAUGAAGUUAGGGUUGAUCAAGGGGAUGGGGAGGUUGGCAAGGGUGCCUUGGCAGCAGGCAGCGAUUCAGGUGAACUUAGAUGCUGAGGAGUUCAUAAAUCUACUUCACGGAUCUGAUCUGAUCAAGGUCAAGCUCGAUCAGCUCGAGAAGAGGUUGAGGAUGUAGAGCUAAGGAGUAGGAGAUGAUUUAGAAGGCCUAGACAUACUAGACAGGAAGGGCUACGUAAGGGCCAUCACCCUGAACCCCAGCCUGCAUUGAAACAUGUGUGGUGUCGCCAUGUCCAGGAAGUGCUAGUACUGUUGGGAUGUGGCAGCAGUCCAUGCCGGUAGUACUGGCAUCCCACCGGAGGAUGGAUCUCCAAACCCUAGUCACCGCCUCCUUUCCUUGGUUAAGUGAGACGGGCACGCUAGCCACCCAAUUAGGUUGGCCAUGGGCUAUAUAUAUUAUAAAAAUUCCAAGCUUGGGUUGGGCCGAUGUAAACCUGAAUCCAGCACAUUUAAUGGGCGGGCUCAAAUUUUAGGCUUAGCAUGGCCUGCUAGGCUUAAAAUCCAAGGCCAGGCCUGUUCAAAAUGUUUCGGGCUCAAGCCGGUCGGGUGGGCUAUCUAGCAUUUGAAUAUGUCUAGUCUGUAUAUAGAAGGGAAAUGUAGGGUUGUCAAUGGCCGUGCUAGCCCCCAAGUGGCUUGAAGACCCGGCAUAAAAAACACCACUUGGGCUGGAAAUUUGGCCAGAAAUCCUGACUAAGAAGGGAGUUGUGGUUACAAGCUUCAUUGUAUGCCAAUAUGAAUCCCUAGUUCUUCAUCUAAUGGAUUGCUUGCAUGGUUAAUUUUGCUAGGAAUGAUUUGGUAGAAGUAUACCAUGUUUCAGCAGAGGAAAAUGGAGAUGCACACAUGUUGCAGAGACAUACACAAGGGGCAAAAUUGUGGUAUAGACGGUAAUGUUACAUGAGAUAAGAUAGCAAAUUGUUUCUAGAAAUUUUUUUUUCCCAAUCAAAUGCUGCAUGAGAUAAGAAAAGAAAAUUGUUUCCUUCUCACUGAGCAAAUUAUUUUUUACAUCGAGGUGAUGUAUGUCAUAAUGAAUAUACUAGAUACUUAUAUGACCUUGAGGAAAAUUGACUAACCCAGUCAUAUGGUUGCCAUCUUUCCACAUUUAGGUAUGACUAUGGACCAUCAAAGUUUCAGAACUUUUGUGCUCUGGUGUCAAUAUGCGGUUGACCAUCAAAACUGGUGCUGAAUCCUAGGAUAAGAAAUUUUGUGCAAGAGACCUGUUUGGAAACCGUAUAGACUAGUUGGCAGGCAGGGAGACAUACACUGGAGUUUGUUCAAAGAAUUGGCAACCUUCCAAGCUUUCCUCAACUGGGAAAUAAUUUAGCCCGAGAUGGAAAGAGUACAAUUUAAUCUGGGAUCAAAACUUAUCCAGCCCAUAUAUAUGGUGGCAAAGUUGGUAAAUUUUCAAUGAGAGCCUGACUUUUCUGGUUUGAAAAAUGUAAAGGAAAAUCUAUGUGGCUGGUUGACUGGUUUUCAGCCUAGGAAGUUUGAGAUGUAUGCAGUGGGUCUGCUUAUGAAGGAAAAACUGAAAAGAUAAACUACUGCUCAGAAGCUUACACCAGAAACUCUUAGUUAUCUAAUUAAGAUCAAUGGAACAACAGAGAAAUUACAUGAAAUAUGGAAGGGAAGACAAGAAUCACACUUGAUUUCAUUUGCAGAGAUGGGGCAAGUAGUUUAAUUUUUAUUCAUGCACGAAGAGCAAGAAGAGCUGUAUUAGACAAGGUUGAUUGCAAGAGAAAUAUGAAAAAAAAGAAAAGCAGAAAGUUGUGUUCACAAAGAUAUACUGUAAGGUCAUUGUUCAUCAUGCGUGUAAAAAACCUGCAAAUUAAUGAUGGAUACUGGAAGAAGAAAAAAAUAGUUGCACUGAUAUUGCAGUUUUGGGAAAUUCAUUGUUGAUGCUUGCAACAGACCGACCUUUUCCUAACGAACUUUUUUAAGAACACUGAACUCGAGGUGACCGACUUAAUCAAGUAAUAUCAAUUGUAUGGGGCAUAUAUCACAGUACCAUGGGUAUUGUAUCUUCGAUUUGAAUGAGUGUAUGGAUGGCCUUGUGAAUAUGGUUCCAGAUUUACUUGGUGAAUUUUUAAUAUAAUGUCAUUUUAUAUUGACAUAAGGAACGUCACAUAAACUUCUGCUGUUCAACACAUACCUUUCAAUUUAAAGAAGAGAUCUUCUGGAUGAAGAAGAUGAUAUUUGGAAGUUCAUCCAAUUUGUCAAAGUCUUUAGUUGAGGUAAUGAAUCUGAUUCAGAUUGAAUAAUAAGUGAAGGAUGUAAGGAGGAAGUAAAGAAGAUGAAAGGAAUAUAAAGAUCUGGAAGAUAACAAACUUGGCAGUUUGAAGUUUGAACCAGAGCAAUUCCUGCUUGAUGCCUACUUGAUGAUUUUUUUUUGCCCAUAUGUCAAUUAUUCUGCAUUUCAUAUAUAUCUAUUAACAAGUCAUUAUUAAUUAAUGGAUUUAGUUAUUGAAUAGUUAGUUAAUGAUUAACUGAAUGAUUGUCAGAUCAGUAAAAUUCAUGAGUGGUUAGAGACAAGGUUCAUUGUCAUGUUCGCGGAACUGUCCCGAACUGGACAAUUCAGGGCGUUUCGAGCUAUAUCAGCCAAAAACUGGGAUGGUUCGGCCGGCCAAAUUGGAACACCGGAUGAGGGAGAAGAAGAGAGAGGGAGAGAGGAGAGGAGAGAAAGAGGGGACGAUGUCAUCGGAGGGAGAUAGAGAGAGGGAGAGCAAUGGUAUCGGAGGGAGGCACAGUUGGUAGAGAGGCUAUUGAAGCGACCUUGGCGGCCCUCCAAGUGCCUCUAGAAGCCAUCUCUCCCUCUCUCUUUUCUUCCUUUCCUCUCUCUUUUCCUCUCUUUCUUUAUCCCUCUUCACCUCCUUUCCUGUUUCUUGUUUCAAUUGCUAGAACUGUCCUAUUUCGCCAUUGGCACGGCUUUGUAUGCCUUGAAUCGAGGAAUUUGGGAUGGUUCUAUAAUCCUUGGUUAGAGAGGUUCCGAGGAAUUUGAGUAUUAUAAUUUGUGAUUAUGGCAUAUGUAUCCAUUUUCUCAUGCUCUCAUUUUCAGGAUUUUUGGAGUUGAGGCUGCUUUGCUGUUCUUGAAGUAUAUCUACACCCUUUUUUCCUUAUAGCUUAUGUGUUUUAUUAUUUUUAACAAGGUUUGCCAUACUGGUUGAUACUGGUGUGAUGACCCAAGCCCAAGCCCGAUUGAGAAGAGCCAAGCCCAAGCCCAAAAAAAGAAAAAAAACUGGGAACGGAAGAAGACUCGGGAGUCUUCUUCUCCGAUGAAUCCCAAUUGAAGAAGGGUUCUAGGACUCUUGAAACUCCAGGACCUUCUAUAAAUAAGCCUCCCCUCUCCCUCUCGAGCCUCCACUGGCGAUCGUUGAGCUCAAAUUCCUCUCUUUUUCCCUUGGAAGCCGCGGCACCCUCUUCUUGUGUUCGUCGGAAAUCGAAGGUCGAAGAGGCCACCGGAGUUCAGGUAAGGGUUAAAUCUUUCUUCCUCUCCCUCUUUUCUUUCUUCCCAUGGUUUUAGACUCCUCGCCGGCUGUCGAGAUCACCAGAAAUUUCAUGAAACAUGAAACCCCUGUUCGACCGGAACCUUUCCCUCUCUUUUCUGGCCACCGGCGCCACCGGUUGCGACAUCUCAUCCCUGAGACUGGACCCUCAUCUCUCUCUCUCUUCCCUUGAGUGCUUGGCUACCGGCGACCGGCCAAUGAUCGGAAAUCAUGAAGAAAGGGGUCAGAUCCCCUGUUUUUCGAGAAAUUAAAAAAAAAAACUUCGCCGACCGAACCUCACUGUCGGCCGGCCUUGCUCCGUUGCCGUCGAUCGGAUGCCACCCACCUCGUUGGAGCCCGGGUCACUAGGGGGGGACCUCAUCGGUCUUCCCCUGUUUUGGCUCAAGAGAGGGCCGUGGGAAGAAGGAAAAGAAAAGAAAAAGAAAAGAAAAGGAAAAGAAAAAAAAUAAAAAAAUAGAAAAAACUAGAAAAAAAAGAAGAAAAGAGAGAAAUUUUCUCUCUCCUCUCUCUACCUUCUCUCUCCAUUUUCUCUCUCUAGAUUCUCUCCCUAUUUUCUCUCUCUACUCUCUCUUGGAUUUUUUUAGGAUUUAUGGAUUUANNNNNNNNNNNNNNNNNNNNCUAGAAAGACCAGCGACAAACCGCCAGCGAGACCAGCGGUUCCAAAGGACUUUGCUGCCAGAUGAUUCGCAGCCUACCGCAAGAAGAUACGCGGUAUUAUGAUCCUGCCACAGAAAAAAUGUGGUCAUAGUUCAUGGUUGAUAAGAAGAACUUAAGAAAUUUGAUGAAUUCAAGAUGAUAAGUAUAAUUUGAAAUUAUGAUGAAUUGAAAGUUUAUAUAUGAUUGAUAGUGUGAUGAAUUAAAUUAUAAAUUCAUGAAUUUACAUAUUGUUUAUGUUAUUAUCAGUAAACAGAUAUGUACAGUAUUAUUGCCUGAUUUAUUCAUUUAAAGGUAUACACUGCUUACUGAGCUAUUUAGCUUAUGAUGAGUUUACAUUUUCUUUACAGAUCCAGAAAAUUAGCGUGAUACGGAAUUUGGUUGGGAGAGCUAUUAGAGAUGGAGUUGGUUUAUUUGAUUUAGGAUUUUUCUCAGAAUUGAUGCAAGAUUUUCAUUUUAAGUGUUGACUUUGUCAGACAAUUAUUUUCUUUUUGACACUGAGUUUUGAUUUGUUAUUUGAACUAAGGUUUGAUCAUUAAGACUGAAAUUUAUUUAACUUUAUGUGUAUGAUAUCAUGAUGAGAUGCCUUGCAUGCUUAUAAGAAAAGCUUCCUAUGAGUAUGCGGCGGUUGCCAUGACCUUCGAUUCACAAUCUCGGGUCGGAGGCGUGACAACUGGUGUGUACCAACUGUAUCGUACCAUACUGGUACUGAAUUAGUAUGAAGUAUAGGGGGUGUAUCAAUACUUGGUAUGUUGAACUUGGUACCAUAUUGGGCAUACCAAUAUUAGACACACCAAUAAUGUAAUAAGAUGGAACUGGUAUGAGGUUUGGUACUGAGAUGGCAAAUGUUGGUUUUUAAUGCCUAUUUUUUCUUUUACUUCAUGGUUGUUUUUAAUACUAGAUUGAGAUUCUUUAAGCUCCUCUUUGCCUAUUCCAUUAACUAUUAGAUAGGAAGUCAUCCUAUGAUCCUAACAUCACAUUGAUAACAAUUUUUGGAUUUUAUCUCUCUCUCUCUCGCUCCCCCUCUCCCUCCCCCCACCCCUAUGCCCCAAAAAAAUAUGCCCUUUUCAUUCUGCACUAUAGCUUUUGUAAUAAUAACAUAUCCAGGCAUCAUAUAUCUUUCUAUUUCACUUCUGCAUCUUACAUUAGGCAUUUAAGAGUACUGGACUUUCUUUAUUAUGAAGAUGGAACCAAGAAGACUUGACAGUUUAUAAAUAUUAUCUUUUUGUAAUUAAAUCAUAAAAUUGUUUAUUUGUUAAAGUUCUGUUCAUAUUUUAGGUCAUGAAAUGCCAGUAUCUUUCUGAUCUUCUUCUUUUACUAUUUCUAGUAUUCCACGAAAGGGCAACCUGUUGCAUGAGGGUCCUGCCACUAUUGGGUUUAGGAAGAGCAGAUCCAUGCAGUUUUAUACCCACAUGUGAAGAAGCUGUUUGUGUGUUUUGAACCCAUGACACCAAGGUCCCAAUGGUGCACCCUACUGUUGCACCAGGGCUGACCUUCCAAACUUGAAUAUUCCAUCAUGAGAAAAUUUUCCUUUAUAAUAUUAUCCCCUUUGAACCCCUUCAUGCCCUUUAUGCUGCAUGCCAAUUUAGUUCUUCUUUUGUAAUUUUUGCUUAUAUCGUUUAAGUGGUUCCAUUUCAUCUAAACUGCCUUUGCAUAUGAUUCGUUGCUAUUUGCAUUUACAUAAUGCAUUCAGUAAUUUGUUCUUGAUCCAUUCAAUUAUUUUAAUAUGUUUCCUUAUAUGCAAACUAGGUCAGUGGUUCAUUUGCAGAUAAAUGGUCACUUCUUGUCAUGUUGAUCUUUUGGUUAAAACACCCAUUGUAUAUGUUAUGGCUUGCUAAGGUGUUAUCCAGCCAACUAGUUCUACAAUGUCUUGAGCAAGAUUUGCCAUACCGUGCCGAACCGGUCGGUACACCCCAUCUCGUAUCGGACUGGCGGGGAACCGGCACGAUUCGGCCGGUAAAAUCGGUACACCGGCGGUACCGAAGAAAAAAGAACGGAAAGUGAGAAAGAGAGAGAGGGAAGGGGAGGGAGGGAGGUGGGAGCCGUCGGAGGCUGGCGGUGGCCGGCUGCGGCCGUCGGAGGGCUUUCGAGCCCCGUAUCGUCCAAUAGAGCUUUCAAGAGAGCAAAAAAGGGAGAGAGAGCGCUCGGAGAGGGGGGUGGGGAACCUACCGGACGGACGGUGCCUCUGUUGCGAGGCUUUCGUUGGCCGGCGAGUCGACCCUGACGGCCUGAGGGCGGUCGAGCGAGGGGAGCCACGGAGCGGCUCCGCCCCCUUCUUCUUUUUCGAAACAGACGACGUCUGUUUCGAUUUUUUCUUUUUUUUUGUUUUAACUUAUGAAGUCGGCAACUGGAUUGNNNNNNNNNNNNNNNNNNNNNNNNNNNNNNNNNNNNNNNNNNNNNNNNNNNNNNNNNNNNNNNNNNNNNNNNNNNNNNNNNNNNNNNNNNNNNNNNNNNNNNNNNNNNNNNNNNNNNNNNNNNNNNNNNNNNNNNNNNNNNNNNNNNNNNNNNNNNNNNNNNNNNNNNNNNNNNNNNNNNNNNNNNNNNNNNNNNNNNNNNNNNNNNNNNNNNNNNNNNNNNNNNNNNNNNNNNNNNNNNNNNNNNNNNNNNNNNNNNNNNNNNNNNNNNNNNNNNNNNNNNNNNNNNNNNNNNNNNNNNNNNNNNNNNNNNNNNNNNNNNNNNNNNNNNNNNNNNNNNNNNNNNNNNNNNNNNNNNNNNNNNNNNNNNNNNNNNNNNNNNNNNNNNNNNNNNNNNNNNNNNNNNNNNNNNNNNNNNNNNNNNNNNNNNNNNNNNNNNNNNNNNNNNNNNNNNNNNNNNNNNNNNNNNNNNNNNNNNNNNNNNNNNNNNNNNNNNNNNNNNCUUUCGGUUUGGGUUGUCGGUUCGGUACCGGUUCAGCAUACCUUGGUCUUGAGCAUGAAAAUUAUUGCCUUUGUUUCUUGAACAUGCAAAUUCUUUGCUUAUUUAGUAUGGCCCAGAAAGUGUUGCCUCCCAUCUUAGAAGAUGUUUUUGUUUUUGGUUUGCAGGAGCGAAUUGUUGAAACCAUGCUAUUUAUUUUAGCAUUACAAUCCCAUACAUGCCGGCCUUAUCUCAUCAUCUCAGCUGCUGCUGCUCUGCCCUCAUGGGAACGUGAGUUUGCACAGUUGUCACCAUCUGUUAACAUUGUUGUUUAUAAUGGCACGAAAGAUGUUCGAAGAAUGAUUCAGACUGUAGAAUUUUAUGAUGAAGGUGGUCGUAUAAUGUUUCAAGUGCUCAUAUCACAUUCUGAUGCUGUUGUCGAGGUACAUAUAUUUCUGGUUGUUUUUUUUACAAAAUAAAUAAUUCCUUGUAGAUAUAUCUCAUGCUUUUUGUGUAAUAAGAUGUAAUGUUAUGCUACAAAAUUAUAAACGUCAAAAGACUCAAAACACUAGUUUUGGAAUGGUUUGCUAUGGUGAAUUUGGCUCUGUCACACGUGUAUGAUUUCUUGAAAACAAAUUUACUUGCCUGCGAUUCUUUAACUCAUAUUGGUGAUGUUUAGGACCUUGAAGCUUUAUAUUGCAUUGGCUGGGAAGCAAUUAUUGUUGAUGAGUGUCAAAAGUCAAGAGUAUCUAAACAUUUUGAACGGUUCAGGAAUCUUUCAUCUGAUUUCAGGUUGCUGCUUUUUAGUGGUCCUCUAAAGGUACUUCUUUUUUAUCUCAUGUUUCAUUUCCUUUAUUUGUUGCUAUAUUGUUUUCUGACUUGUCUCUGCUGCAUCUCCAAAACUAUUUUAUUAUAUUCUGGUGUCUUUUCAGGACGGCUUUGUUGAUUACCUCAACACACUCUCAUUCCUUGAUCCAAGAGGACAAGAGAAUGCUGUCAAUAUUUCAAAAUUUGAUAUUACUGAUGAUAAUGAUAGACUUGCCAUCCUAAAGGAAAGGUUAGCAUUUUAUGUUGCAUAUGAGCGCAAACCAAAGUCUUCGAAGUUUCAAGAGUACUGGAUUCCUGCUCAGCUUUCCAAUGUACAACUUGGCCAGUACUGCAAUAUCCUAAUGUCAAAUUCAGAUGCAUUGCAUUUGAUUUCCAAAGUUGAUCAUGUUGGUGCUAUUAGUGUCAUCCUCAAUUCUGCUCGAAAGGUUGUCUCCUGAAACUUAUAUCCCAUCAACUACUCAAAAGUAACUCUUACAGAUAUUUCUCUGUUUAUAUUUUCAUAGUCACCCAUUUCUGUACUUAAUUAGUUCGUCUAAGCUGAUCUUACACUUGUGAUGCAGCUUAAAUUUCCUGGUGUCUCGUAGUUUUAUUUAUUUUAUUUUAUUUUUUUGGUGCAGUGCUGUGAUCAUCCCUACUUGGUUGACAACUCAUUGGCCUGUUCACUAACCAAGGAUCUAUCAUUGGUCGAAAAAUCAAAGUUUGAAGUGAAUGCAAGUGGAAAACUACGACUUCUUGACAAGAUUCUCCGGAAUAUAAAGACUCAUGGGCUAAGGGUGCUUAUUCUUUUUCAGGUUUGUUUUUUCUUUAUUUUUAUACAGGUUUUGUGGAGGUUCUGGUAGAGGUUUUUUUGUGGAGUUUUAUUAGAGGUUUUUUGUGGAGUUCUGCGCGCGUGCACACACACAUAAAACAAGUUAGAGAUGUGCGUCUUAGUAUCUUUGGAGUGGACUUUUCUGUUUCACUUCGAAUCAUACUCUUUCAUGUCUUAUUUAUUGUGGGAUGGACCAUCACUAUUUGCGAAUUUGUUAUGAGAAAGUAUUUUGCUGUUUCCACCUUUGUUAAUUCUUUCCCAUGUGUCAGUAUUUAGUGGUUACUAGGAUAAGGAAUGAUCUUGAAUUUUGAUAUUAAAUUCAAACCACACUGCAAAAAAUAGAAUUUACAUACUCAUCCUCAUGCUACAUUUAACAUUUCCAUUUCCAUUUCCUGAAGUGAUUUGAUUCUUUUUACAUGAAUGCAUACUUAAAAUAUUACGAGUUAGUUUAAUAUGAUACUGCUAUUAUCGAUUUGGCUUAGUAGUUAAGAAUAGAUUCAGUCAUACCGUAAUCCAGGUUCACCUGUUGAAGAUUGAUAGGCAAAUUACGGACCAUAACAGAUCCAAAUAUCUUGAAAAAUAUCUAGCUUCAAACAUCAUUUAGAUUAGUAGCUUGUUAAUCAUGCUUUAUGAUUGACUAUCUACUUGACAUCAACCUCUAGGAAUGGGUGUUGGAUUCCUAGCUAAGGCAGCUUAAGGCAGGACAGAUGCCUAGCAUGAAACCUAGAACACCAGAUGGUUAUAGGAAUUGGUGUUGAAUUCCUGCUUUAGUGGUCACAAUUUCAGAUUAUGCAACUAGGGAACAUUAACCGAAGUUCCGUAAAAACUCAAAGAAAAUGGAGACCAAAGAGAAGAUGUCAUGGUUUGAUAUAGGGAACUGCAUUCAUCUUAAAGCACUAAAUUAUAAGUGAAAGAGUGACAUUGAAACAUAAUCCCAUAUCUUUUAUGGACACAGGUUGAACUACUGAGCAUAAGAACUGCAAGAACUAUUUUCACAGAAAUGACUGUUGGAUUAUUGUUUUAUAUCAAUGGGGUGGGUGGUGGCUUUAUCACAUUCAAACAUUCAUAUAGGGAUUGCUUCAAUACUGAACGCUGACUCACGCAGUUAUAAGUCUUCCCAUGCCUUGUCAGGGCCUAUGUUUGAAGGAGGUAAGGUGCCUGAAUUCUUGUGUUUGUGGAAUAUGAUCCUAUGUCUGUGUUUGCAAAAAUGGCACCUUGCUCUGGGAAUACUGAUUUUGAAAAAUGAGUUAUCUUUUCCUAAAAUUAACAGCAAGAUAGAAGCUAAUGAGGUUGUAAUCUGUACUUUGUUUUGUAGAUUCCAGGGCAGUGGUUAUUGUAUCCAACAUCUGGAUGAUAGUUGGUAGGAAACACUUGUCCAUGGACUUUAUUCUUGACAUGGCACAACUUGGGGUAGAGCAAUUCUAGAAAACUAUCUGAACCUGAGGUUCCAUUUUCUCUUAAACCAACUAGGCAACUACAAUUCCUCUAUCCUUUCCAAGUUGAUUCUUUGAGAAACAACUCGCCGUCAUACAUCGUUUUUUAUGCAUUAUGAGAUGAGAAUAGAGAACUUCCUUGAGAAUGCAUUUGUCUAAACCAGGACAUGAGAGUUGAGACCAUUCUUGAGUCGUUCUUAACAUUGUUAAUAAUUGAAAUUCAGGAUUUGUGGGAUGCCUGUUAGCAUUUCUGGUGCAGCACAAACAUGGAUUAUGGGAGAGAUAACCAGGUGUUCACUGUCUUCUCGAGGAAAAAUUUGAACUAGUGAGCAACCGGUCCCCUCAAACUCAUGAACUAAGAUUACUUUGUUUCCUUGACUCACAGUGGACAUAUCAGGAAAGCAAAUUUGUUGAUAACAGUACUAUGGAUUCUCAGUAUACAAGUACAAACUCUUCUAUACCCUCAAAAUUCUUAUUUCUAGUUGUAGUCAUACAAGGGCAUCACGGUACUUUUCCCUACCCAACUAAAGAUUCACUUGAUACUAAACAGACCUAUUCAAUGAAAUAAAUGUAAACAAAGUAUACAUUUUAACUGAUGACCUUUUUAGUAAUUGGAGAACUUAAAAUAAAAAUAUGAUUACAUUGGCAACUUGGUUUUUGAGUUGGACCUGGUUUCUGCUAGUCUUGCUUGGACCUUGUUCCUUGGUAUCUUGUUCUACAUCAAUUUGUUUCAGUUGUCUGAUUUUUACAUGUGUCAGCUAUUCGGUGCAAAAGUAAUUUUCUCCAGCUUAUUGGUUUGAUCCAAGCUGUCUGCAGCGUCAACUUUAUUGGUGCAAGUAAUUAUUUAGUAUUAUUAUUUGUAUUAAACAAGAUAGCUGAUUAUUUGUUUUUUUAAAAAGUCUGGAUACUUGGUUUACAACUGGAGAUUAUUUUUUAGCCUUAACAUUUUUAUUCCUGGCGUUGGUCAUAUAAGAAGAUAUGGUGCUUUAUCAUGCACAAGACUCGCUCUAUGCCAGAGUCACCAACUCCACUAUCAGACUUAUUCCAGCACAAAGAAAUAAAGUUAAAUGAAAUGCAUAUCCUAACUGAACAGUUUUUGGUAGUUUGAGAACUAAAAAUAAAGAUAUGAUGAUAUCAGCAACUUGCUUUUUGUGUUUGACUUGGCUUCUACGAGUCUUGCACGGACCUGAUUUGUUGGUAUCUUGUUCUAUGUCAAUUUGUUACAGCUGUCUGAUUUUCACGUGUUGGCUAUUUGGUGCAGAAGUAAUUUUCUCCAUCUUAUUUUGGUUUGACCCAAGCUUUCUGCAGUGUCAACUUGAUUAGCACAAGUAACUACUUAGUCUUGUUAUUUGUAUUUUUAUAUUUCAACUUCGUUGUAGUAAUGUUAUUACAGUUGUUGAGAGGAGUAAUCCUCCGGCUUAUUCUAUUUUGAAGAUUUAUAUCAGCCUGUGCUUUAAUCUGUUGCACCAUGAUUAUAUGAUCUAAAUGUUAGCAGUACUCAUGAUCAUUUAAAUUAUAGAAAAUUUUGUCUGCCAUCUACCAAUCUAGUGACAUCUUGGAAAGUUGGUAGUUGCUUAGGAUCUGAUAUGUUUGUAUAUAACUGUAAAUGUUAUAAUAUGUGACAGUCCAUUGAUGCAUCUGGAAAGAUUUCUACUGGUGAUAUUUUGGAUGAUUUUCUCAAUCAAAGAUUUGGUGCCAACUCCUAUGAACAUUUCAUUAAUGGAAUGACCAGGGCAAAGAAAGAAGCUGCUUUGGAAAGGUUUAAUGACAAGGAGAGUGGGAGAUUUGUGUUUUUAAUUGGAAACUCUGCUUGCACCUCAAGCAUUAGACUUUCAUCAGUACAUACUGUUAUCAUUUAUGGUAGUGACUGGAAUCCACUGAAUGACUUAAGAGUGCUUCAUAAAAUAAGUAUUGGUUCACAUCUUAAACAGGUAAAGGUGUUUCGUUUAUAUUCUUCCUGGACAGUGGAAGAGAAAGUUCUAAUAUUUGCGAAGCAGGAUAUGGUUAUUGGGCAUGAUACACAGAACAUGAGUCCUAGUAUUAGCCAUUCACUUCUCAGUUGGGGUGCAUCCUAUCUGUUUGAUAAACUCCACAGGUUGCUCCAACAUAACUAUCAAAGUCAUGAUUGGAGUACUUCCACUGAGAAAUUACUCAUGAAUGAAGUAAUGAGGUUGUUGAUGCAAUCAUCCAACAUGGCUACUAUCACUGAUAACAGCAAUUGCUCAAUUGUAGUGAAAGCUCAACUCACUGGAAUGAGAUAUUCACAAAAUAUACUCCUAUUUGGGGAGAGCGAAAAUACACUCUCACUGGGUAAUGAUCCCCUUACUUUCUGGUCAAAGUUACUGAAUAGAAGUUGUCCGCAAUCAAAAUGUACAUCUGAGCCACCUCAGGGGACCCAAAAGAAAGUUCAUCAACUUGAUGAGUUGGUAAUGGAACCAGAAGGUUCAGAUGAUGAAUCGAGGAAGAAGCAUAAAAUUAUAGUCAAUAGCACCAUUAAUUCAGCGAUGUCAGUCCCACUGCAGAUGUUAACAGAGACAGGAGAAGCUGUCAACGGCAAGGCUGCUAAAGUGUCUGAAAAUACUCCUCCAUCGGGUUCUGAUCAUCCAUUCCUUAUCUGCACAAGUCAAGAACCACCGGGCCCAAAUAUCUCGACCAAUGAAACAGGUAUUGCUUUAGCUCUGAUUCUUUCCUUUUUAUUCAUCGCUUUAUCAGGAUUUGCUUGUGUUAGCUUCUUCUUUUCAGCUUUUUAUGAUAAGCAAGGUUACUUGACCUGCAGGAGUACCUAUAAGUCAAGCAAAACUUGGAUCAAUGUGUCAAUCAUGCUCUGGCACUAUUAUGAAUGAUGCAGUUUGGGAUUUGCACAUGCCUGCCAUGUCUCUUUCUUCUGACGUAGAUGAACUUGAAAUGUGGAAGCUUGGAGAGAAGGAAAAAUUGCUCAAUGCACCGAAGGACCUUCUUUCUUCUAUUAACCCAAAGUUAUUGAAAUUUUGUGAAACUUUGAGACUUCCGGUAUUUGAUCCACAAUUGCCAUUACUUGCACUUGUGCUAAAUAUUCUGCUUUUGUGUUAUUUUAUUCUCUUUCACAUGUUGUUCUUACAAAUGAGAACUGUGCAAAAUAAAAAUUUGAGUGGAAGAACUGCAAAAACAUUGCCCAUCUGCUCUAUUAAGAAAGCUCUUAUUUUUAAACAGAUUUGAAAAGUCUUCCUUUGAGAUGUUGUUGAAUUCAUAUGCUUGUACCAUGCUCUGGAAGAUAUACAGACAUCUUUUUGAGCACAAACAUGCUUUUCUCUUGAAGCAAGUGCAUGAAAUGAUUUAAGCAUAACAUUAAAAUCCGUGAAUUAAAUUUCACAAUAAUAAGAUGCUUUGAUUGAUAUAUGAAAAUUAUAUGGCAUACAUAUUACUAUACUGAUAUUGCAGCUUGAACACAGUAACAAAAGCAAUUCAUAGCAGAGGCACUUGUAUCUUUAUAGUUUUUUGUUGCAUGACUUGUGCAUCUAUAUUUAUGAUUUUUUUGGCCAAGUUUUAAACACUCUUGUCUGCAUUAAACAAGUUUUGGACCUUUUGGCAGCUAAAAAAUUAUAUAUAUAUNNNNNNNNNNNNNNNNNNNNNNNNNNNNNNNNNNNNNNNNNNNNNNNNNNNNNNNNNNNNNNNNNNNNNNNNNNNNNNNNNNNNNNNNNNNNNNNNNNNNNNNNNNNNNNNNNNNNNNNNNNNNNNNNNNNNNNNNNNNNNNNNNNNNNNNNNNNNNNNNNNNNNNNNNNNNNNNNNNNNNNNNNNNNNNNNNNNNNNNNNNNNNNNNNNNNNNNNNNNNNNNNNNNNNNNNNNNNNNNNNNNNNNNNNNNNNNNNNNNNNNNNNNNNNNNNNNNNNNNNNNNNNNNNNNNNNNNNNNNNNNNNNNNNNNNNNNNNNNNNNNNNNNNNNNNNNNNNNNNNNNNNNNNNNNNNNNNNNNNNNNNNNNNNNNNNNNNNNNNNNNNNNNAUAUAUAAAUGAAAAGCCUAAAUUGAUGAGAAUCUAUGUGAGUUGAAAUUUUUCAAGGAAAAUAGCCCAUGUUUCGAACUUUUUUUUUUUUUUGGUAGGCCCUCAUAUUAUGCUGCUCUGAAUCAUGUCAACCUUCCAAAAUCCAACUUUAAUCUUGAUGAAGUGCUGCUUCAGAUUUAAGAAAACAAAGAAAAAAAUGGAGGAAUUGAAAAAAUUACAUAUAAAUUACCCAUGUAUAAAAUACAUUUGGCCCAUCAGAGCUCUAGUUUUGGAUUGUCUCUGCUCUCAGUUUUGAUUUCAAAGUUUCAACCAAAACUUAGUAUCAUGCUUUGUUCUCAAGCUUAUGGCAUGCUCUAAAAUCAUAUAUAUUUGUUUAUUUAUUGUACAAUAAUUUUCAUGAGAUGCAGUUGUUGAUUUCUUUUUUGAAAUAUUGUGGACUUUGAAUUGAUUGUGGAUGUAGUAUAAGUUAUUUUGAAACUUCAUAAUUGCAUCUGCUCCUUGUCUAACUUCCUUAAGAAAAUGUAUUAUUGCAUUACUAUAUUUGUUUUAUAAUGGACAUUCCAAAAGUCUGUGUCGUUGGCCAAUCUUCAAGAUGGUUAAGCUAAAAUAAGGACUAAAAUGUUAAUGCAAACACUGCUUUGCAGUUUGAUGAUAUCCUUUGCUUUAUCAAAAUAUCUAUUGGCCCUGAAGAUUGUCAUACUAACUAUUUCUCCAUUUUUGGUUGUCACAUAUAUGGCUUGUCCGAAUGAUUGAUGUGAGGUUUUAACAAAUGUGCUUAUGAAGAAUAAAUGUGACAUUCUCCUAUAGCAUGUGCAUCAAUAAUUAUUUUGCAUUUGGUGAUAUUCUUUGGUUUAAUUGUGGUGUACACAGGACAUAAUUGUUUGAUAAAUUGUUUCUUAAAAUGUAUGGUGUGAGUAUUUUAUGUAUAUAUGAAUUGCAAAAGAAAUUUUAUUUAUAAUUAGUCAUGGAUUAAUGCUUGAACUAAGGGUUCAAAUGAAUAAUUGUCGAACUAUGCUGACCCGGCUAGUUCGGGGCAUAUCUAACCAGAUCGGUUGGUUAUCGACACAGUUUAGCCCAUACAUUCGAGACAUGAGGGUUCAUUUGAUGGUUUGGGGGUUUUGUUCGAGGUGUCUCUUGGUGACUCCUGGUUGCUCGCUUUUGUAUUGCCCUCGCUGAUCGAUGAUCGUUGGACGAAAGACUCUCCUCCCUCUCUCCUUCCUCCUCCCUCCUACUGUUCCACCCUCAAUGACACUGCCAUCUUCUUGUUGAGCAUGGCUUGCAUGUCUAACAACACGAUAGUUGCAUCUUAAGCCAUCUCCUCGGAGGUCAGAGCUCACAUCUCCACCCUCUCGAUGGCCUCGAUCUCUCUCUCACUCUCUUCUCCCUCCCUUUCUCUCCCUCUCCUUCCCCCUUUCCCUCUCCCUCCAUCUCUCUUCCUUCCUGCUCCCUCUCGUUGUUUCGGAAUGCUUCAGAGUAACACGCCAUAGAUUUGUGCCAUACAAUUCUAGAAGCCAACUAGUAUAGGUCACAGUAGCGGUUCGACAAACCUUGUUCAAACCUUGGUAUUGGGGCUUUCUUGAUAUGCUCUUAGGAUGGUAUGGUCAUGGGAUGAUUGCGGGUUCAAAAUGAACCGAGAAUUAGUAAUAAUAAUAAUAAUAAAGAAAAUAUAAAAAAAUAGCCCGGUGUCUCCCAGGCAUUCUACUGCAUCCCAAGUUUUAGGGUGCAACCGAGAUACUUCAGACAUUGCAAUUCUAGAGAGAACCUUUGUCUUGCAUGGUUGCACCCUUCUCGCAUUUUCCUGUUGGAAUAGUGUAGUAUCAAGGACACCAUCCAUCCCAAUCAGGGUUUGCCGUACCGGGCCAAACCGUCCCGGUACGGGGCGUACCGAGCCAGACUGGUCCCUUACCGGUCCGGUUCGGGCCCAUAUCGCCCGGAACCGGACGGUAUAGCUCGGUUCGCCAUCGGUUCGGGGUGAACCGAACCGUACCGCCCAGGGGACCAUUUCAUAUGGGGNNNNNNNNNNNNNNNNNNNNUUAAAAAAUUAUUUUUUUAAUUAUUUAAAUUAAAAAAAUUAAUUAUAAAAUAAAAAAUAUAUAAAAAUAGUGUUAUAUUUUAGUUAAUUUAAAAAUAUUAUUUGAAGCAUAUAACAUAUCUGUUUUGAAUUUAUAAGUUUUAAAAUAAUUAUUAAAAUUAUUUUAAAAUUAUAUAUAAUUAUUUUAAUUAUCAUUAAACUAUCGUGUUUUGUUAUACUUGCAUAUAUUUUAAUUAUAUAUAUAUACUGCGGACGAUCUUGCACGUGGAGUAGGGUCUAUGGAUGUAUCUGGAUCAUCCUCGCUUUAUGGAUCCUAUUAUCCACAACCACUUUAUGAUCCAUAUGCAUAUGGUGCAUCCAAGGCAUCUUCUAGUGGUUACCAUCCUAUGCAGCCUCGAGCAUCUUACGGAUCAGAUUUUGCUACUGGCAUAUUUGGAUGGGCUCCUCAACCGUACCAUCAUCUAGAGGAUACUUCUCAGAGUCAGAAUUUUAGCGAGAGGUCUGAGAUGUCUUACAAUCUAGAGAGGAUGCCUUAUGGGAUGAUGAAUAUUCGAGUGUACAGUGCAGCUUGGUUAGAGGGUUGGACUGAUAUCCCUUCAGACUAUGUUGAUGAUCCAAACAUCUACGAGCGUCACAAACACUUGACAAGAAAUUAAAUACACAGUACAUCUUAAGGUUCGUAUGUCAGUUAUUGCGCUUUGUACUUAAAUAUUUAGAUAUAUUUUAAUGCGUAUUUUAUAUAUUUUUUUUUAGUUUUAAGAUAACAUAGUUGAAAUAUAAUGUAAAUAAAUAUAUGUUUGAAAUUUUGGAUCAAGAGUUUUUGUACCGCAACCUAACUCCAAAUUGAACCCAAAUAUGUUAAUAAUAUGCAAUAUAAUGCCAUAUUGAGGUUAUAUUUAUCAAUUAUUAACUUUAAAAAUUUAAAAAAAAUUAAAAAUAAAAAAAAUAUUGUGUAUCGGUAUCGGACCGGUACGUCUAGACGUACCGUGUGUCGGUACGGUACCGGUACCAUACCGUACCGGUCCAGUACCGAUACAGCGAACCUUGAUCCCAAUGGUACGUAAAUUCUUGUCUUGGGUAGAUUUAAUUUUUGAAAAUCGACUAUGCGCUUGAUUUUCUUGGUUUACUUGGAAUGGGUUCAUCUUUGAGUUGUCAAUCUAAAUAAACUAUUAUAUCAUUUAUUUUUCUUUGAACUAUUAGUUUGCCAAAUGGAAAUGUUUAUUUUAUAUUAGUUUUAGAGGUUCUCCUUUCAUGUUCAAAAUUGUUUGAUGAUUAUUUCUUAGGAUUCUCAAGAUUGUGUUAUGCGGUCUUUUAUUAAUUCAUAUUUAUAUGUGGUAAGGAUUCAGGUCUCAGCUUGUGGUGGAUCCAGAAAUUUUGCUUUAUGGGGUCAAUAUAAUAAAAGAAGCGGAGGGGUUGUGAAAAAGAAAGAAAGAAAAAAAAAUAAAAUAUUAUUUUUUAAAAAUAAUAAAAUACAUAAAAAGAAUAAUAUAUAAUAUUUUAAUAUUUUUUAUAAUAAAAUAUUAUAAAGAAGCAUCAUAGCUAAAUCAUAGAUAUUAUUAAAUGUUAAAAUUAUAAUGGCUAAUCAAAAUUUAUUCUGAUCAUAUAUAUUUUAUAUGAGUGAAAAAAGAGAAAACUGAGAAAACUGAAAGAAUGUUAUAAAAAAAAAAAGCUAAAAGGGACAUACCUAAUCCAAAAAAAACCCCACAUCAAUUUAUUGGCUUUUCUUACUUAUAUAUAUAUAUAUAUAUAUGUCUAAUGUUGUGGGGUCAAUUUUGACUUUUUCCACGGAUCGGUGUGGCUUUUCUACUAGUAUAUACGCACGGGGGCAACUUUUUUUUUGUGGGGUCAAUUGACCCCACAUUUUUCUCAAAUGGAUCCACCAUUAGUCCCAAUGGGAUGUGCCGUGGGACAUCAGGAUGAGGUAUUAUCCCACGUGUCAGGACAGGACCGUCCCGUUAGCAUCUCACCAUCCCGAUCAAGACGUCUUGGGACAUCCUCUACCCCAAGUGUUGGGACGGGGCGGGAUGAUGAUGCGUCCCAUUCCAUAGAAAAACUGAGAUAGCCCCAUCCCAGGAGAUUUAAAACCUUGAUAUGCACAAUCCUGAUUUUCCCUCAUUCAUUACUUCUCAUGAAAUUCAACUGAAACCAUGGUAGUUAAUGAUUUGCAAAUCAGUUCUUGUAUGAAAUAUAUAUCUGAUUGGAUAUGCGUAAUUUUACUUGCAGGAUGAAGUCAAGCAUCUGGCUGAAUUGUUUCUUAUGUAUAUUAUGAAGAAUCAUCAUUUUAGUUUGGGAUCAGAAACUUUAUUGGAAGGCUUCAUUAUUUCACUGGUAAAAAAUAAACGCCAUUGUGUAGAUUUUGGUGAAAUGCAUAAGGAUUCCAAUGUCCUACUGUUCUGUCUGUAAGAUCAUUUAUCGUAGUUCUUAUGUUCACUAUGUGUAUGUGGAAUUAUAGCAGUAGUGUUGGUAGCAAGGUUCAACCAGAACCAAACUGAAGCUAACUAGUUGGAAAUUUUUUAGGUCAAAAAUAAUUUAAAUCAAAGUAUUACAAGGACUUACAUUCAGAAAAUUUUGUAAAUCUUUGAAUUCAUUGACAAAAUUGUCUGUUUAGAUUUUAGAGAAAAUGAGACAUAAAACUCAAGCUUAUGAGCAAUGUAUUGAUGUUCAUUAUUUAAUAUGUUUCUCUUUUUCAAUUUGAAUAUUGCAAACCUGCAAACUAGAAUGCGAGGUAUACAACAAAACUAAGUGGUCAGCAAUUGAAAAAUGUCAUAAUCACAUCAAACAGUUGCAAAACUUGCCAUGUGUAAUCUAUCGUCUCUUAAAUAAUUUUAGUUAGAUUUCUGAAGUUGGAGUGUUUCAUGAUAAUCCUUACUACCAUUUCAGCAUCCUAAACACUGCGGCUAAAAGUAUCUACAUUGUCCAUGUUCAAAGCAUUUUCAAAUAUGGCACAUGGUUUGUUAGCUAAAAUUAUCUUCUGUGUAUGUUGAAUUAUAGCUGGAGUAGUGUUGGUAGCAAGGUUCAACCAGAACCAAACUGAAGCAAACUAGUUGGAAAUUUUUUAGGUCAAAAAUAAUUUAAAUCGAAGUAUUACAAGGACUUAAAUUCAGAAAAUUUUGUAAAUCUUUGAAUUCAUUGACAAAAUGGUUUGUUUAGAUUUUAGAGAAAAUGAGACAUGAAACUCAAGCUUAUGAGCAAUGUAUUGAUGUUCAUUAUGUUUCUCUUUUUCAAUUUGAAUAUUGCUUUCCUGCAAACUAGAAUGCGAGAUAUACAACAAAACUAAGUGGUCAGCAAUUGAAAAAUGUCAUAAUCACAUCAAACAGUUGCAAAACUUGCCAUGUGUAAUCUAUCAUCUCUUGAAUAAUUUCAGUUAGAUUUCUGAAGGAGUGUUUCAUGAUAAUCUUUACUAUCAUUUUAGCAUCCUAAACACGAGCGGCUAAAAGUAUCUGCAUUUGUCCAUGUUCAAAGCAUUUUCAAAUAUGGCACAUGGCUUGUUAGCUAAAAUUAUCUUGUGUGUAUGUUGAAUUAUAGCUGGAGUAGUGUUGGUAGCAAGGUUCAACCAGAACCAAACUUAAGCAAACUAGUUGGAAAUUUUUUGGGUCAAAAAUAAUUGAAAUCAAAGUAUUACAUGGACUUAAAUUCAGAAAAUUUUAUAAAUCUUUGAAUUCAUUGACAAAAUGGCCUGUUUAGAUUUUAGAGAAAAUGAGGCAUGAAACUCAAGCUUAUGAGCAAUGUAUUGAUGUUCAUUAUUUAAUAUGUUUCUCUUUUUCAAUUCAACUAUUGCAAACCUGCAAACUAGAAUGCGAGGUAUACAACAAAACUAAGUGGUCAGCAAUUGAAAAAUGUCAUAAUCGCAUCAAAUAGUUGCAAAACUUGCCAUGUGUAAUCUAUCAUCUCUUAAAUAAUUUCAGUUAGAUUUUUGAAGAUGGAGUCCAUGGAAUGCUGUACUAUGCUGAAUCGACUGGUACAUCCCGUACCGAGCUAGACUGGCGGGGAACUUGCAUGGUUCGGCCGGUUCAAAUGGUAUACUGGUGGAGGGAGGGAAAAAGAGGGAAAGAGAGAGGAGAGGGAGGUGGGAGCCGUUGGAGGCCGACAGUGGUCCGCUUCGGCCGUCGAAAGGCCGCGGAAGCGUCCGUGGCUUGUUGGUUCGCCUAAUAGGGCUUUGAAAUGAGCGAGAAAGAGGGGCAGAUCAUUGGAGAUGGGAGCGGAUGGCAUCACGGUCGCAGAUGUGGGCUUCGCUGGGGGGGUUGGCGGAAGCGGCGUGGGCGGCAUCGUGAUCGUGGAACAGGGGCUGUCGCCCUUGUUCAUGCAUCCCCUUUUUUAAAAAUGAAGAUCAACCGUGAAGCCGGCAAACUAUUUGCCGGCUUCACUGUUUAAAUAUUUUUUUAAAAAAAUUAAAAUCAAUGAAGCCGGCAAACCAUUUGCCGGCUUCACUUAAGUUUUGAUUUUUUUAAAAAAAUAAUGAAACAGGGAUGUCGUCUCUGUUUCACGUUUGCGGCGCCGUGCGUGUGGAUUGCGCCAUUCGACGGCCACGACAGCCAUCCCGAGUCCGUCCGACGGCCCUUCCCUCUCCUUCCUCUCCCUCCUUUUCUUUCUUCCUCCCUCUCUCUCUCUUUCUCUCUUUUUCUUCUCUCGAUUCGGGUCCGGUGCCUUCUUUCUUCCUCCCUCUCUCUCUUUCUCUCUUUUUCUUCUCUCGAUUCGGGUCCGGUGCCUUCGUGGGUUCGCUUUCAGUUUGGUACAGUAUGGAACCGUACCGAACCAUACCGCCGGCUGGCCGAAAUGGCCGUCGGUACCGAGAUGGCAAAUCUUGAUGGAAUGUUUCAUGAUAAUCCUUAUUAUCAUUUCAGCAUCCUAAACACUGUUGCUAAAAGUAUCUGCAUUUGUCCAUGUUCAAAGCAUUUUCAAAUAUGGCACAUGGUUUGUUAGCUAAAAUUAUCUUUUGUGUAUGUUGAGUUAUAAUUGUAGUGUUAGUAGCAAGGUUCAACCAGAACCAAACUGGAGCAUACUAGUUGGAAAUUUUUUAGGUCAAAAAUAAUUUAAAUCAAAGUAUUACAAGGACUUAAAUUAAGAAAAUAUUGUAAAUCUUUGAAUUCAUUGACAAAAUGGUCUGCUUAGAUUUUAGAGAAAAUAAGACAUGAAAUUCAAGCUUAUGAGUUAAGGUUCGUGGACUCGAUAUCAGAAUCUGUAUUGGUUGUCAAUCGAUACGGUAUCAUACCAUACCGGAUAUAAAAAAAAAAUCAAAAAAAAUCUCACCUAACAACAAAAAAAAGAAAAAAAAAUCGUGCCGAACCGGCUCCGAACCAGACCAAACCACCCAAUAUCAGGCGGUUCGAGUUGAUACUGUAUCGAACUGAUUAGUUCAGUCCGAUUCAGACUAUUUUUCAAAAAUCCAAUCUAAACCAGACCGGUUCUCCGGUGAUACGAUACGGUAUGGGGUGUACUAGUCGGUUUGGACGGAUACGGAAUACCUAUAUUCAAAGUUCACGGACUCGGUACUGAAAUCCGUAUCGAUUGUCGGUCGGUACGGUACGAUAUGAUAUCGGAUCGUACCGAUAAUAAAAAAUUCAGAAAAAAUUUCAUCCAACAGUCAAAAAAAAAAAAGAAAACUAAGGCAAACCGGACUGAAUCGGUACCGCACCGCAUCGCACCAAACCAAGCCGUUCGACAUCGGGUGGUUCAGGCCAAUACCAUGUCGAAUCGAUCGGUUUGGUCUGGUUCAGAUUAUUUUUCAGAAAACCAGCCUGAGCCGAAUCGGUUCCUCAUCGGUACAGUAUGGUACAGAACGUACCGAUCGGUUUGGGUCGGUACGGAAUACCAUGCCUGUAUUGAUGUUCAUUAUUUAAUAUGUUUUUCUUUUUCAAUUUGAAUAUUGCAAACCUGCAAACUAGAAUGCGAGGUAUACAACAAAGCUAUGUGGUCAGCAAUUGAAAAAUGUCGUAAUCACAUCAAACAGUUGCAAAACUUGCCAUGUGUAAUCUAUCAUCUCUUAAAUAAUUUCAGUUAGAUUUAUGAAGAUGGAGUAUUUCAUGAUAAUUCUUACUACCAUUUCAGCAUCCUAAACGUGGCGGCUAAAAGUAUCUGCAUUUGUCCAUGUUCAAUGCAUUUUCAAAUAUGGCACAUGGUUUUGUUAGCUAAAAUUAUCUUGUGUGGUCCUAAUAUAUAGUGAGAUUGUUGGCAUCCUGUGCACUACUGGGUGGAUUAGUGCAAAUUGUUUGUGGCACCAUAAUCGCAAACACCUAAGCAUCUUCCUUCUUAUAUGUUGAAUGAGAGUCACUGUAAUUGGACUCACUUUUGACUUGAACCAACCAUUACCUUGUUCAUAUGUAGGAGACAUAUGUCCAUGGUCAAAGCAUUUUCAAAUAUGGCACAUGGUUUGAUAGCUAAAAUUAACUUCUGUAUAGUCCUGAUACAUGGUGAGAUUGCUGGCCUCCUGUGCACUACUGGGUGGAUUAAUGCAAAUUGUUUGUGCCACUAAAAUCACAAACACCUAAGCAUCUCCCUUCUUAUUUGUUGAAUGGGAGUCACCGUAAUUUGACUCACUUUUGAGUUCAACUAACCAUUAGCUUGGUCAUAUGUAUGAGACAUAUUCUUCUUGUCCAAUGCUUCCAAAAUCAUCAUUCCUAUCCCCAUCACAAUGAUAAAUGAUUAGCAUGACCAUCAUCAUACUCAUUGUCAUCUAUAGUGCCAGCUAUCCUAAGGACACCUUUUAUUUGUCCCAGUUUGAUUACUCUUAGCUUUAAUUUAACUUGUUCCCUGUCAACUUUAUUCUCUAGCUCUAGUACAUUGGCUUGUUUCGACGUUAGCAAUAUCUUUUAGCAUCAAUGAGUCCUUCCCAUCUACUGUCGCUCCAAUCGUUCUCCAGUAGACUAAUACAAUUAUAAGUUGGUCAAACUUUUCUCUUAGUUAUGCGGCUUAUGCCAUUUAAAUUUUGUCCUCCUUUUGCAACCGCAUAUUAUGAUUUCAGUAUGUUAUUUUUUAUCUCCUUACUUCCAGUGGAAAAUGAUGACAAGGAAAAUUCUCUAGUUUUUCUUAGAUCCAUUUGAUAAUGUCACUUGGCUCCAAGUUCCAAUGUAAAAUCAUUGUAAUUCCUUAACCUCUUGCCUAUAGUGUUGCCCAUACCAAACCGAAACACCACAAAUGUAUCCAAUGGGACAUGAAGACCAUGGAGUCUGAUAAUUUUUUCUCCCUCUUCCUUGGCCUUUCCUUUCUUUUAUAAUUGCUUUUUCUUGUUUGUCACAUGUUGAAAAUAAAUUCCCUCAGAUCCAUGGGGGUGAUAAUGUGAUAGAGCAUUGGUUGCAUCAUAAAAAAGGACAUAUUUGUAACAUGUCCGUCUUCCUUAGCCUUUCUUUUCUCCCUUUUCCUUAGCUUUUCUUUUCUUUUAUAAUUGGUUUUCUUGUUUGUCACAUGUUGAAAACCAUUUCCCUCAAAUCCAUGGGGGUGAUGAUGUGAUAGAGCCUUGGUUGCGUCCUAAAAACGGACAUAUUUGUCCUUAUCUUUUCAACCUUCUUAUCAAGACAGAAGUCCAUGGCCUUGGAGGGGUGGGGAUAACACUUCCUCUUCCUAACUACUGAAUCAUGCUAAUCAUGAUGUGGAAAUAUGUUAAUGUUGCUAUAAAUGGAAGGAGCUCACCAGACCAAUCUAGUGCAUACGAACAAGCAACAAGUGUUUUCUCAACAUGCUUAUCCAUAAAAGCAUGAACUUGUUGCUAAUUUUGCUUCCUCCUAAAAACCUAUUGCCUUGUGUAUUCCUGCUUAUGCUGUUGAAUCAUUCAGUUUUUCUAUUAUAUUGGACUCUGUUACUCAAUUAUACCCACCACCAUUAUAUUGGAUCCCAAAAUAACACCCUUUAUUUCUUAUGCUUCCUUUUUCUCUUGUUUGCAAUAGACCAUUAGUCUUUAAAAUCAUACAUCCUCAUGCUUUUCAGUUCACAAAUUCAAAAGCUUGUAGCAUAUUUGAACCAAGCUUGCUAUGAUUUUCUUGACUUGUACGCCUUCUUUUCCCAAAAUAUUCCAUCACUUUCAUCAUCUCCUCAGGUGUUUCAGGUUAAUUAGGCACCAUUGUGGAUCUUGUAACGAAAAUUUUCGUCAAUCUAAGAGGCAAGCUUUCACACUAAAUAAUAACCUCAGUACUUGCAUUCAAGUAAAACCUGUUUGAUAUAUCCAAGGUUGUAUGUCAGAAAGGGAACCUUUGACCUUUAAACAGGAGACUAACAAUCAAAUAAGCAACAGAGUCAUAUUUCAAUAGAAAAAUUGUGGGCGAAAAUUUAAUAUGCCAAGCAAGACUAAAUGCCAAUAUCGGUUGGGGAUCAGGUUAGCGCCGUGCUGGAAUAGUACUUUAUUGGCACAUGGGACAUGUUAGAACUGUGAGGGAAGCAGGUGGAGGGGAAGCUGAUGGAGUAAACAGAGGAUGGGGAGCCAGCAAGGCAGGGAAAUGGAGGGGAAGCUGUAGGAAAAAUGAGGGUUAAAAAAAAAAACAAACUGAACUGCAUUGUCCACCAUCCAGUACCAUCCGCUACUGUUUUACUUGAUUUAUUCAUGAUAGCUUUGGAGGUUUGAAAUGGACAUUGUAUUCCAAUUUGAUUCCUUUGGUAUUUGAUUUGUGCCCCAACAAUUAGCGCUCCAGGAUUCAUGGCAUGCCCUAAUUUACCUUGGCUAGGAAGUUGGCACCUAUUUGAUUUGACAUAAGGUUUAUGGGUCGUUAUCCAUUCUUAUAGUUAGCAUAUCAUACUUUGAUCCUAUAAAACCGAGUUGAAUAGAUGGGAAAAUGCAUACUUCAGUUGAUGUUUCAGUGCUAAUUUUUUGUUUUUCCCUUUUUCCUGACUAUAAAUGCCAUCAUCACCGAAUAAUGCUUCCACCAUGUUGUUAGAUGUAGCCAUACCAGUUCCAGGUAUGGCAUACCUAGAUUGGGCAUCAUACAAGGUACUGCAGCACAUCAACUAAUAUCUAGCAUUGGGGUAAUUUUGGCGAUGACAGUUUAACAAUGUGGCCUUGUCAUGGUGUCACCUGAUAUAUAAUUAUUGCCAACAAUAUCUGAUGAAGUUGUCCUCCUUUUCCCAUGGGCGUUUUAUUUUUUUUACCUUUUUACUUGAAUAUUGGAACUUUGAUAUUUGCUGUAUUUUUGUAUCCCUAACUUCUUAAACUUCUGCUGUAAAACUUUUUAGUGUUGGAUGGCAGCAUCUUUGCAAAAGCACAAGAUCAACCACAAGGAAUCACUUGCUCUUGCAAAGAGGUAUUUAAACUUUGAGUGCAAAGAGCAAGAGGUGGAGCUAGUUUACGCAAAAUUAAAGUUUCUAAAAGAUUUUUUUUCUCAUCCAUCUGGUGUGUCAGAAAAUACUGUUCAACCAAAUUCUCUAAUGAUUGAGACAUUUUUUCCAAAACAUGACAUUCAUAAAGGCAUCAUACAUGAAGAAAUUUCAGGAAGAUCAUCAUCUGAUCAUCAUGUAAUGGAGAAAUGCGAGAUAAGAGUGUGUGAGUCAUCUGUUCCAGAAAACAACACUGCUAAAGAUUUCAUGCAUGAAGUUAAUUUGAAGAAGACACUAUCUGAUGAUGAAGUUCUGGAAGAAGGCGAAAUCAGAGAGAGUCUAUCAUCAAUGCCUAGCAAAUAUGCUGUUAUAUACAUCAUGCAUGAUGAUAGUUCAGAGACUGCAUCAUAUGGUGAUGAGAAAAUGAAAGAAGGUGAAAUAAGGAAGGAUCUGACAUCUAUGCAAGCACAAAAUGUUUUCAGAUGUGUUGUACAUGAAGACAGUUCAAAAAUUGUACCUUUUGAUCAUGAAGGAAUAGGAGAAGCUAGUAUUAGAAUGGGUCAGUUAUCUGUUCCUGUAAAUGAUGACAUUAAGGACAACAUGUGUAAAACUGGUCCAAAACUAACAUCAAUGGAUGGUGAACUGGAGAAAGAUGAGAUCAGAAAGAGUCCUGUCGGUCAUACGCCCUCUGAGCAACAAAAUUUGGUGAAUAGAUUCAGUCAGUCAUCUGUGCCUGGAAAUGAUGAUCAUAAAGAUUGCAUGCAUGAAACUAGUCCAAAAUUAACAUUGUUGGAUGACGAACUAGAGGAAGGUGAGUUAGGAAAGAGUCCUGUUGCACAUAUGCCUUGUGUACAACUAAAUUUGGUGCAGCAGGAGCAGAAUUCUAUCCUUGAAACUCCUUUAGUAAAGACUCACCAGCAAAUUAAGUCAUUGAAGGAUGAGCUCUUGAAGAAACAAAUGGAUCUGAUUGAUAGAAUUUGUUCAAGAAGGUUAGAUGAACUCCUUUUAAGGCAAAAUAUAGAGCUGCUAGAAUUCAAAAUUAUGAGAGAUGAGCAAAAGAUGGAAUUGAUUAAAAUUCAUAAUUUGG